CUUUCUUUCGACAUAGGUAAUUUGAAGGUGCUUCUAGGAAUAAAUUUAUCAGAAAAUAACUUAUCGGGUGAUAUGCCAGCCACAAUUGGAGGACUGAAAGAUCUUCAAUUUAUGGACCUAGCAUUUAAUAGAUUGGAAGGCCCAAUUCCUGAAUCAUUUGGUGACUUGACAAGUUUGGAGGUUUUGAAUUUGUCAAAAAAUAAAAUCUCUGGGUCUAUUCCAACAUCCAUGGAGAAACUCAUUUACCUUCGAGAGUUAAAUCUCUCUUUCAAUAAACUUGAAGGUGAGAUUCCUAGUGGAGGAAUUUUUACCAACUUCACAGCUGAGUCAUUUAUGGGAAAUGAGUUAUUGUGUGGUUUACCAAAUCUUCAAGUCCAACCAUGCAAACUUAGCAAGCCUAGGACAGAACAUAAAUCAAGGAAAAAGAUACUUCUCAUUGUGAUUGUUUUGCCAUUGAGUAUUGCUCUAACGAUAGCAAUCACUCUAGCUCUCAAAUCUAAGCUGAUCGAAUGUAGAAAAAGAGGCACAGAGUUAUCAAAUGAUAGUAUCUUGUCAUCAGAAGCAACACUAAGAAGAUUUUUAUACUUAGAACUUUUACAAGCAACAGAUAAUUUUGCUGAAAACAACAUAAUUGGCAGAGGAGGUUUUGGUUCCGUUUAUGGAGCAAGACUUGAAGAUGGGAUGAAGAUUGCAAUAAAAGUGUUUCACCAGCAAUGUGCAAGCGCAUUGAAGAGUUUUGAGGCUGAAUGUGAAGUGUUAAAAAAUAUUCACCAUCGAAACCUUAUCAAAGUUAUCAGCAGUUGCUCGAACGAUGACUUCAAAGCAUUAGUCCUAGAAUACAUGUCCAACGGGAGCUUGGAGGAUUGGCUGCAUUCUAGCAAUUAUGUGCUGAAUAUAUUUCAGAGGUUGAACAUAAUGAUUGACGUUGCAUCAGCUUUAGAAUAUCUCCACUUCGAUCAUUCAACUGCUAUUAUUCAUUGUGACUUAAAGCCUAGUAAUGUAUUGUUGGACGAAAAUAUGGUUGCUCAUUUGAGUGAUUUUGGCAUAGCAAAGCUUUUAAGUGGAGAGGAUGAGUCUACGAUACGAACAAAAACCCUUGCCACUCUAGGUUAUAUGGCACCAGGUUUGCUUCAAACAACUUUCGUUUUUAGUUCAUUUUAAAUUUUCCAACUUAUUGAUUUUUACAAUCCUCACAUCAAAAUGUUAUUGAUUAUUUAUCUAAUUGUGAAAUUAAUUUGAUUCAUAGAGUAUGGCAUAGGAGGAGAAGUAUCUACAAAAAGUGAUGUUUAUAGCUAUGGGAUUAUGUUGAUGGAAACUUUUACCAAGAAAAAACCCACAGAUGAAAUUUUUGUUGGAGAAUUGAGCUUAAAGCGUUGGGUUAAUGACUUGCUUCCUAAUUCAUUAGUGGAAGUUGUGGACAAAACUCUGCUAAGUGGAGAGGAAAAACAUUCUGCAGCAAAGGAGCAAUGUCUGUUGUCUAUCUUUAGUUUGGCUCUGGAGUGUACAAUGGAAUCACCGGAAAAGAGGAUUAAUGCAAAAGAUAUUGUUACCGGAUUACUCAAGAUAAGAGACACAUUGAGUAAAAGGAUAGGAAAUUUAAGUUAAUUUCGUUUGCUUUCAUUGAUAGUUAAUUCGAAUUCAUGUAAUAAGUGUAAGAACCUUAUAUCUUUUACUUUGAUUUUUUUUUUCUUGAGAAAACUGUUGUAGUCAUCUUGUUUCCAUGGGCGGAGUUGAUUUAGUUCUUCCAAGAAAUGCUACUGAUGACAUUUGUUUUAUACUUUCUCUUUUUUUUUGCAUGUGUUUAGGUAGAAUAGUGGUUUGGUUGCACUCUAAGAAGUCUAACUACACUAAAAGAAUAUGAUUUAAUUUAUUAAACAAAACUUCAAGUUCAAGAAAAGUAUCUCAUUGCCCCCAAUGCUUUGGACACCUAUUGGUAGGUUUGUACGUGUCCUCAACUUUUUUUUGGAGCACAAAAUUCGAGUCCCAUAAAGGCUCAAACAUUCCUUUCCUUCAUCCCGAGGGCGCCUUCUGUCCUCUGUUUUCUGUUUCCACACACAAAUAGCAAAAAGAAAUUAGAAUGACAACUGGGACAUAUAUAAGAGUGAAAUAAUUAAAAAAAUUAUGCUUUUUUGUCUGUCGUGUUAAAAUCGUAAGUACCGAAGUACUGUGAAAGAGAUUAAUUUACAGAAACUGAAGCCAAGGGUUCAAAAAAAACUAUUGAUGUAGGUAGAAUGCAAUGUCAUAUUCAUACAGAGAUGAAGUAUAUUAUUUACGGCUGGUAAGGACUAAGAAUUGAUGUAGCUAGAAUGCAAAGAUGAUGAGGUAUGUUGUACACUAUUGUUUUUAUUCUACAAUCAAUCUUGACCCCUGAUGCUUGGCUCUCAAUCUUGUCCAUUGAUCUUCUCUGAUUUUGGAGACUUGAAGACCUUUCAGUAUCAUGCCUUGUUGUUGGUGUCUUCCGUGCUGUAGAAUUCAUAUACAAGUUUUCCCGCCGACUUGCCAAGUAUUUGUUCAUUGAUGCAUUUUAUCAAACAGUUGGCCUGCUCAGAGCAAACAGCUCCUGUUUUAACUCCCCCUCCGUAGCUCAACUAUCUGGGAAGACAAUUAAUUGAGCUUGUUUCACAAUUAUAUGAAUCUGAAAGUUCAAUUAUAUCCUCUAAUGGAGAGAACUCAUUGCCUCAGUAUGAUCACUGUGUCAUCAACCCACUCCCCGCUUCUUUGCUUGGUUGUUGCAGCAAGCAACAAUUUUACCACAGAUCAACAAUAGUUUGUCCAUUUGUUCCAGUGAGGUCGUCAUUAAAAAUUAAUUUUCAUAUUGAUUUUCUUAAUUAUAAAUAAUACUAAUGAUAUUUCAUAGUUAUAAAUAUAUUAGAAUUAAUCGAAAUCAUUUUUUAGUGCGGCAUGGCUAAAACUACCUUUUUUUUUUUUAAGUAAUUACUACUUCAAGGAAAAUACUCCUAUUUUCAAGGAAAAGUCAAGUACCCGUAGUUGUGAAGACUCGAGCUCACCCUCUUAUGAUAAAUCUUCUUAUCAAUUACAUAAAUAUCCUCUAAAUUUUUAGUUAACUAUUCAAAAUUCGAUGUUAUACGGGUAUUUCAUUUAUUUGAGUAGGGGUUCGGGGUCAAUUGGAUACAAAUUCAAAAUUAUCCUUACUUGAGAAGGUGAUAAAAAUUGGGGAUUUAGUUUGGAUGCAUUAGCUACAAAUAUUAAACUCAUACAUCUAAUUCAAAAUUAGAGGGCUGAUAUAUGUGCAUCCUCGUGCACAUUAUAGUGACACGUGUCACCAUCCUACAACCUAUCCAAUGAAAAAUUGACAUGCAUCUUGUGCGCUUCUGAUCAAAAUCCUGAAAAUUAAUCACAAAGUUAUACUUUUAUUAUAAAAAGAAUAAAGAAACUCCAAAAAAAAAAAAAGACUUACAUAUAUAAAUAGUUUGAAUAAUCUAGAUUCCAAGUUGUCUAUAUUAGCUUGAUCUUUUUAUAAAUAGUCAUCUUCGAAAAAAAAUUCCACCAACAUAUAUUUUAAUUUUAUGUUAAUUAAUAAAUAGAAAAAAAUCAUUUUAGAAUUAAUUAAAACAUUAUUUAUUGUUGCCAAAAAAAGGAAGAAUUUAGUGAUAAGAAAAAAGUGUCUCAAAUAUACGUUAAAAAAAUUAAUCAUGGUGGGUUCGAUUGAUUGAAUUUUUUUUUUUAAUCUUUUUCUUUUUUAAGAAUUAAGACAAUUGGAUUGAUUGAGUAAUAAUAAAAUAUAUUUAUUUGGCAAAUGGCAGGUAGGCUUUCUUCUGAUGCAGAUUGAUUAUAGAGAAUAUACAACAAUUUUAAGCUCGUCAGAUUCGGAACCUGCUUAUCUGUCGUGUGGGGAUCACUUCCGUGUCUUAUUUUUCUAGAAAAAUCUGGACCAUUAGGCAGUAGAGAAAUGUUGAUCUUGAUUCCUGAUCAGGAUCGAAGUUUGAUUCUAUCUAACAUGAUAUCAGAUUGCGAAGCAGGCUAGUAUGUAAAUUUCUUUUAUCUUUUAGAGGAAAAUGGGCAAGAGAAGAAGAUUUGGCAAAGGAAUUGCAACCGCAUUUCUAGUAUGUUCUGAUCAGAGAAGCGAAAUCCAUCACGGUCUUUUAUCUUUACCCAUGUGGAGAAAUCAAGGGAUUUCGAAUCAGAGAAGCGAUGGGAUUUAGUUCUGAUCUGGGAUUUUGGAGACUUAGGGAGUGUGCGGUCUUGGACCAACAUUGAUGACGAUGACGCUUCAAAUUCAAUGACUUGAAAGCAGAAAACAAAGACAGACAAAAACAGACAUGCACUACAGCAAGAAAGAUUGACUGAAUCUUGGGUUACUGUGUCUGUGGUCUCAAAUGAAACACAAGUGGGAAGCCUUGCUGCAGUUUCAGCUUUGGUUUGUGUUUGAAGUUUUGAAUGUAAAAAGAGAACCGAGCAUGUGGUUGCCGACAAGAAUGGCCUGAGGUUUCUUAAGCUUCAUUGUAAUGUUACAACUGCUACUAAUUUGGUGGGGUGGGAGGUCGCUGGGUCGCUGUCAGUCCAUUUGCUUCUUUUCUUUCUUUUUGUUAUUUGUUGAGUUUUUUCCAUUUCUACUUUUCUUAAUAUAUAAAUUAUCAUUUUUUUAACAUGCAAAAUAUAUAGAACAUUUUAUGAGUUUAUAAAUAAAAAUUAUAUUAUGGGAUAAUAGUGAAUGAGUUCCUGGUGCUUUGGAGUUCUUUAAAUUAAGGGCCCAGUUUGUCCAUUUGUUUUAGUUAGGUCCUUCUUAAAAAUUGAUUUUCUUAAUUAUAACUAAUACUAAUGAUAUUUCAUAGUUAUAAAUAUAUUAGAAUUAAUCCAAAAUAUUUUUUAGCGUGGCAUGGCUAAAACUACCUUUUUCUAUAAGUAAUCACUACUUUUGCAUUAAGGAAAAUAUUCCUAUUUAAAAAAAAAUUGAAUAUCUAUAGUUGUGAGGACUCGAACUCACUCGCUUAUGAUAAAUCUUUGUUGAUGCGAGAUUCUGGUUACCCACUCGACCACGUCCAGGAUCUCUGCUCAAUCAACUAACUCGACCACGAUCAGGAUCUCUCCUCGUAUGCUUUCUUCUUCAAAAAUUCCUGCGUACACAGAAACAAGUCAGAGCACGCCAGUUGUUUUCCCGGCGUAAACCCUCCGACGCUCAAGUCAGAUAUGAAGGUUUUGUGUUCCUGGGAACGUUAGCCACUAGUCUUAAGCUUUGCUUUUGGUAUCGAUUGCUGAAUGCUCUCUUUAUCUCAAUUUCCGUAUUAAAAGUUAACCCUUUUACCUUCGUUGGCUGCCUUUUUAUAGGCUCCACCUGAGUCCAGAUCCUCCCCUCCAUUCACGCCCGUUACCUUCCCACCUCUCGAAAGUGGAUGCUUUGUUUCCGUAAUCGUGGGUGAUUGCAUGGCCUUCGUGCCUCGAUUCUCAGGCUGGAGAGUACGUCUCGCCAACUGUCGUUGACUGGGUCUCCUCGCCUCAAACCUUAGCAGGAAUGGCUUUAUGCUUCUAACAAGAGACCGGCUUCGCGGAUGGCGUAUUCAUGGACGAGCAGAUAUUCCUGCUUAUGUUCCAAUGCUACCAGACCUCUGCUCAUCACGGCUGGUCUCGUCGAAGUACAUCCCCCAAACACCGGUCCCCCAGUUUCUGGUGUUGGGUAACAUAGUGAGCCAACAGUAGAAACUCGACAGUUCUUGCUCGCGCGAGAUAGGAAAAGACUGCCAAGAGUCGUGUCGCAUUUAAUGGCGGAUGAGGUGAUGUGGCAGAAAUCUACCCCUCCAUUUGAAUUUCAAACCGACGGUUACGAAACCCUAGGGAUUUGUGCCGUUAAAUGCCGGCAGCCCAAGAGUUUGUUCUUCAUUAGGAAAACCCAAAACCCCCAAAAGAGGAACUCGUCUUUUACUCCGUUUCUGUCUCUCCUGCGAAUGAGUCCUUCCUCUCCCUCGGCGUAAAAGCUUCCUUCCUUGUCUCUCUCCGACUAAGUCACAACUUCAGGUACUAUUUCUUUUUUCCUCGGUCGUGGAUAGUUGUAAACAAUUUCUUUUACAUUUUGCUUGGGUAGUGUUUGGUGGUGCAGUUCUGGUUAUAGUUUAGGGAAUGUCGAAAGGUAAGGAGAAAGUCAUUGAGAUUGAUGACGACGAGUUAGACUUCUUGCCUAGUCUGCUCGCCGAUUCUGCUUUCGACACCGGGAUCCCCUUAGAACCCGUUAGACCUAAUGUUGCGACUAGUGCUAGGAGGAUGUCCCCCCAAGUAACCUCCUCAACUGGAAAUAGCGACGACGAGGGUUCUUCUGGUUCGGAAGACACUUUGAGUGAAGAUCAGGGAAAUGAUUCUGGUGAGAUGUCCUCACCAGGAACAUCGUGACCAGAUAGGAGGGGCAUAGUAGGAGGUAGAGCUCUAUCACAGAAUUACACUAUUGAUUUUAUGACGUGCACGACCACAGUAGAUGAGCUAGUUAGUCUCCGGGCUAGAUACGGCAUCCCUGAUGAAAUUUCCCUUAGGAUCCCAGGAAAAAAAGAUACCCCCAGCCGGCCUCCUAGGGGAUAUAUUACUCUGUUUCUAGAGAGUUUUAAACUUGGGCUAAGGUACCCCAUACAACCCUACUUUGCCCGAAUACUCAAUGGGUUGAAUUUAGCUCCUGGUCAACUGAACCCCAAUGGGUGGUGAGUACUUUCUGGUCUGUUCAUAUUGUGAGACAGAUGUUGCCAAAGCGAGCCAACAAUUGACGAGGUGAAGCACCUGUACCAGCUAAAGAGCAGCCCCAAAGAUGUCGGCUGGUAUUACUUCCAGUCUAGUACCAAGACCAGGAAACCCAUAACCGAUCUUCCAACUGGUGGUGGUAGGACUUGGAAGAAAAAAUUCUUUUUUGCUGGGGGUCCCUGGGGUCAAGUUGCACAGAUUGACGAGAAGGAUUACCGUGUCCCACCUCAUUUCGUGGUCCCAGGUUGCCUACUCGCUUAAGAUGUUUUGUCUCCAUAGUCGUUCUCAUUUUGCUGAUUUGUUUCUAAUCCAAAAUCUGUUCGCAUUGCAGGUUCCUGGGGUGUGCACUACCAGCUUAAACCCGAGCCGCUCAAGCGAGUCGAAGCUGUACUGGCCAAUUUCUACACGAACCGAGAGCUGCUAACUACUUUCAAUUUGGUCGAAUCUCGUUUGGUGUCUACCGGCCAUAAAAUGGAGGAUGCUGUGAUCGGGGCUCUGACUCGGAAACGUCCCCAACCUCAUGCUACCAAGCAGGACCAGAAUAAAUAUGCUCCCACUGCGAAGCGGGUGAACAUUGUGCAGCAGGUUCCUCCCUUGAAGACCCUACCACCUCCUUCUGCCAAAGUCGGAGAAACUAGCGGAGCAGCCACCGAUCCCGCUUCCUCUUAUCCUCCAGUCGGGCCGAGAUCUCGUUUAUCUGACAAUCGAGCAAAACAUUUGGUCCCCUAUAUCAACGAGUUCUCUAAACUCGUGAGCAAGAGGGACCUAGAGGACUUUGACGACAGCACCUUGGGUGAGCUGGUGGGGGCCAUGCAAUAUAGCGCUUUCCAUCUCGACUGUAUGGCCACUUACUACAAGGCCAAGGUUGGUCGUUAUGACCGAAAGAUGAAGGAGGACAUUCAAUCGGCCAUGAUCAAAGCUGAUGCUGCCGAGAAGAAAGCAGGGGACUUGAAUCUCGAGAAUUUGAAGUUGAUAGAGCGAGAAUCUCUUGCUCAAGCAAAAGCCAUUACUCUCGAGGAUGAGCUAGCUAAGGUCAAGGAGGAUCUGCAAAGACAGCAGGCUAUGUACGAGGCCCAGCUCGAAUCUCUUCGGGAUUCCCACAAGGUUUAGGUCGAGAACCUGGAGAAGGAAGCUGAUAAUCAAUAUGACCAGGGGCUUCAGCACUCCUAUCAUUGCAUCAUGGCCGUCCUUGGGAAGCAGCAUCCGGAUAUGAAAAUGGACGAGCUUGCUACUGGUGUUGCUCAGCAUAUGGAUGAGGAGGCAGCAAAAGAGGACGCCGAAGAGGUGGAGCCAACUGAGGUUGAGGAGGGAAACACUCCUCCUCGUGCAAUCCUUGCUGAUGUCGCUGAGGCGAGUACCCCCCGAAUGCAACUGGUGAUACCCCCUGCCCCUGAGGUGGACCAGCCAACCAAGGCUGCUCGGCUUACUGACCCGCCGUCCUCUUGAUUGUAUUUUGUGUUGUAGUUGCUUUCUUGAAACGCUAUAUGUUAUGACUAGCAGUUUUUUCUGGUUGUUGAUUAAUAAAUAAGAAUGUUCUCAUUUGCUUUCUCGUCGUAAAUCAUUUUAAGUUUGAGGGUCUACUUGCCUUCUCUUGUACUAGCAGUUCUUGACACGCUUGGCUUCUGGUCUCGCCAUAGAACAUGCUUGUGACUUGGUGAGCCUUUGCAUGCCUUAGAAAUUUUUUCAAUGUUGGGAUUCUGCUCGCCUUCGCUUGGUCGAGCAGAUCUUGGCACGCUUGGCUUUUGGUCUCGCCAUAAAAACAGGCUUUGAAAAUUGGUGAGCCUUUGCAUGCCUUAGAAAUUUUUUCAAUGCUUGGGAUUUUGCUCGCCGUCGCUUGGUCGAGCAGAUCCUGGCACGCUUAGCUUUUGGUCUCGCCAUAAAAUAGGCUUUGAGACUUGGUGAGCCUUUGUAUGCCUUCGAAAUUUUUUCAAUGAUAGGGAUUCUGCUCGUCGUCGCUUGGUCGAGCAGAUCCUGGCACACUUGGCUUCUAGUCUCGCCAUAAAACAGGCUUUGAGACUUGGUGAGCCUUUGCAUGCCUUAGAAAUUUUUUCAAUGCUUGGGAUUCUGCUCGCCGUUGCUUGGUUGAGCAGAUCCUGGCACGCUUGGUUUCUGGUCUCGCCAUAAAACAGGUUUUGAGACUUGGUGAGCCUUUGCAUGCCUUAGAAAUUUUUUGCACAGUUACAAGUGAAUGAAAUUCCUCGACGUUUCAUUAAUUACAGAAUUCAACUUACAUAGGAAUGCAUAGCAACGAGAACAAAUUAAAGUAAUUUUUGAACAUGAGCAAGUCUUACUGGAAAUAUUUCCUGAGGUGCGCUGCGUUCCAUAGGCGUUUCACCUCGUGGCCAUCCGUGCGAACAAGCUUGUAAGCUCCGAGUCCCACUAUCUGCUUGACCCUGUAUAGCCCCUGCCAAUUCGGUCCAAGCACUCCUUGAGUCGAGUCUUUGGUGUUCUGAUUCACUCUCCUUAGCACCCAAUCUCCGACCCUAAACUGCCGUACAUUCACCUUCUGGUUAUAAUACCGAGCAACCCUCUGCUGGUAAAUGGCUAAUCGCUUCGAUGCUUGCUCCCUCUUCUCUACAAGCAAAUUCAGAUUCAAGCACAUCUGCUCGUUGUUAUCUUGCUCAUUGAAAUGAUCUGUCCGGUGCGUGGUCGUUCCUAUCUCGGCUGGUACGACCGCUUCAUGUCCGAAGGCCAAGGCGAACGGUGUUUCUCCAGUUGCUGUUUUGUAGGUUGUCCUGUAUGCCCAUAAAACACAUGAUAGCUCAUCAACCCAUGCUCCAUUUUUUGCUCCAAGCCUGGUUUUCAAAAGCCUCUUGAUCGUCUUGUUGGCUGCUUCUACUUGUCCAUUGGAUUGAGGGUGAGCAAGCGAGCAGUACUUCAACUCUAUCCCGAGGUUCUGGCAGAAAUCCCUGAAACUGUGAUUAUCGAACUGCCUGCCAUUAUCCAUUACCAAGGCAUAGGGGAUCCCGUACCGACAGACCAGGUUUCUCCAUACGAAGUCUGUUGUCUUCUUCUCUGUGAUCUUGCUGAGGGCUUCUACUUCUAUCCACUUCAUGAAGUAGUCUAUUGCUACUAUUCCAUGUGUUGUUGCUCCUCGUCCCCUUGGCAACGGCCCGAUCAGAUCAAUUCCCCACUGAGCAAAUGGCCAAGGGGAGGCUAUAGAGGUGAGCUUCUCUGGUGUUUGGCUGGAGAAACUUGCAAAACUCUGGCAGCUUAAGCAGCUCCUGGUCUUCUCCUGCGCAUCCUGGUGCAUUGUCGGCCAGAAAUAUCCCUGCCUUAGAACCUUAUGGGCAAGGGACCUCCCACCAGAAUGGUUUCCGCAAAUUCCUUCAUGUACUUCUCUCAGUACGUAGUCUGCGUUGUCCUCAUCUAAGCACCGAAGGAACGUGAGUGUAUAUCCUCGCCGAUAUAGCACCCCAUCAAUCAUUGUGUACCUUGAGUCUUGGGCUCUAAUCUUCCGAGCUCGUAGCUUAUCUGGUGGUAACACCCCGUCUCUGAUAUAUGAAAUUAUCGGAUCCAUCCACGAGCCUUUUUGUUCUAUCUGCAUCACCUUCAAAUUCUGCUCGAUGCUAGGGUUGGUUUUCACUUCCAAAGGGACCGUCUUAGGCAUUUUAGGGUCUGCUACAACUGUCAUCCUGGCCAGAAUAUCGGCUCGACUAUUUUGUUCCCUUGGGAUUUGUAUCAACUUAACCGCUUCGAACUUCCUCAUCAUCUGCCUGACUUUCUUCAAGUACUGCUCCAUCUUCUCAUCUCUCGGUUGAAAACUUUCACUGACAUGAUUUGCGACCAGCUGAGAAUAAGUUCUGAUCUUCACCCUAUCUGCUUUCAUUGCCUUAGCCAAUUCCAAACCUGCUAUCAAGGCUUCGUAUUCUGCCUGGUUAUUUGUGGCUGUGAACUCUAACUUUACAGCAUAAGAAAUCUCCUCCCCCUCUGGGUCUUUUAAGACAAUUUCUGCUCCUGAUCCUUGCUCACCUGAUGACCCAUCUACAGACAUCUGCCAUACUCGAGCUUUGCUGCUAUCUGUAGCGGUGUCCAGUUGGUCCAAACAUACUUCAAGCUCCGCGAAUUCUGCUAUGAAAUCGGCCGUUGCCUGAGCCUUUAUUGCUGCUCGGGGUUUGUAAUCUAUGUCGAACUCGCUAAGCUCUAUAGCCCACUUCACGAGCCGACCAGAAGCAUCUGGCUUGUGCAGAGUUUGACGCAAUGGCUGGUUUGUUAUUACCGUGACGGGGAAUGCUUGAAAGUACGGCCUCAGCUUCCGAGCAGCAACCACAAGGGCGAGUGUCCAUUUCUCCACCAAUGGGUAUCUGGUCUCGGCAUCGAGCAGGGUCUUGUUGGUGAAGUAUAUCGGGUACUGAACCCCUUCUUCUUCUCUUACUAGAACAGAACUUGCAGCAUGAUUUGAUACCGCCAAAUAUAAGAACAACCUAUCGUCAUCCCUUAGUGUGGACAGCAAAGGUGCUUGUUGCAAGUACUGCUUCAAGUUCUGGAAGGCUUCUUCACAUUCUGGGGUCCAUUCUGUAUUCUUUCCUCUCCUUAUCACUUGGAAAAAUGGCUGACACUUAUCUGUAGCCUUGGAUAUGAAUCGGCUUAAUGCCGCCAACCUCCCCGUAAGGCUCUGUGUCUCCUUCAGGUUACGAGGUGACCUCAUCUGCACGAUCGCCUGGAUCUUCUCAAGAUUUGCCUCGAUCCUGCUCGAACAUGGGGAUUUGGUUGUAUCCCGAGAAUGCGUCCAUGAAGCUGAGCAAGCCAUGUCCGGCUUUUAAGUCUACAAGCUGGUCAAUCUUUGGUAAUGGAAAGCUGUCUUUCGGGCACGCCUUGUUGAGGCCCGUGAAAUCCACACACAUCCUCCACUUGCCAUUAGCCUUUUUUACUAACACCACAUUCGAUAUCCACUCGGGAUAAUUGACUUCCCGAAUGAACCCUGCUUUCAAGAGCUUCUCCACCUCGCCGUUUAUAGCCUCAUACCUCUCCUGGUUGAAGCACCUCCUUUUCUGCCUUACUGCCCGAGCACCUUUCUUUAUUGCCAGUUUAUGACAUGCGACCUAAGGGUCGAUUCUUGGCAUGUCUUCAUGUGUCCAAGCAAACACAUCUGCAUGAGCCCGCAAGCAUUGCACCAACUCCUGCUUCUGCUAUUCUUUAAGCCUCAACCCAAUUCGGAUCGUUUUUCCCAGAUCCUUUGGUCCUAGGCUCACUGUCUUCAACUCCUCUACAGGUUCUUGUCUACCAGUCUUGGUUCCCACUCGGGUAUCAAGGGAUGUUAUCUGCAUUGCUUCCCUUGCUGACGAGGAGUAAUAGCUUCGUGCGAUUCUCUGGUCUCCUCAUACCACUCCAACUACCCCAUUCACCCGGUACUUGAGAGCUAGAUAAUGGUUGGAUGACACCGCUUUACUCAUCCUCAGAAAUGGUCGACCUAGGAUCAUCUGGUAAGGACCCUCUUCAUCGACUACCAAAAAAUCCAGCAUCAUAGUCCUUUCUGUCGGGGAGCUUCCAAUCGUGAUAGGCAGCUCAACCACGCCCAGGGGGACCAGCUUUCCUCCUCCAAAUCCCUUCAAGGAGGUAUUGGUGUGCUCCAACCUCAGGUCUGUUAUUCUCAUCUCCUCCAGAGUUGACUUAAACAACACAUCAACUGAGCUCCCUGUGUCAACCAGUAUCCGGUCAAACUUCUUGCUGGCGACGGUGGCCUUGAUGACUAAGGCAUCCUUGUGUGGGUAUAGAAUCCCUUAUUCAUCCUCAUCUGUCCACAUGAUUGGCACUUGUCAGACUCUUGCUCGUUUGGCUGCUGGGGUGUUGAAGAACACAUCUUUACUAGUCAUGGCAAAUUUAGCAUAAUUUUUCCUCGAUCUGUUGGAAUCUCCGGCCAACGUUGGACCCCCUAACAAUCACUCUUACUAUAGGCUGCCUGUGGCUCAAGUUCCUGUUACCCUGCUCCUCUUCACAUAUCGGGGCCACCGUCGGAAAAGUCCCAUCGAUAAACUCGUCCAGGUAUCGAUUUCUCACCAAAUCUUUAACCUGGGUCUUAAGGUCUCUUCAUUCUAUUGUGGUAUGGCCAUGAGUACCAUGGAACUUGCAAUAGUGCCCCUAUCCCUUCUGCUGGGUAGCUUUGUUAUUGGGGCUGGGAGGUACAGUAAUCCCCAGUCCUUUAUGGCCUCACAGACUUCGUCCAGUGGGAUAUUCAAGGAAGUAUACUGCCCAUAGUCCUGGUUCUGGUCGAUCAUAUGCACUGCCCUUUCUCUGUUUGUGCCAUUCUGAGUUGGAGGUGGUGGCAGCGCUUCUGGUCUGCUCCCCCUACUACCAUGGGGGUGUGGGUGAAGGUGACCGUAUGUCGCGUCAUGCCUUCUCCUAGGCUCCCUAGCUGGUGAGCGAGAAGGUUGCGCCCUGCUGUGCUGAUACUGUGGUGGCCUCUAAUGAGGUUGGUAAGCGGUUACCCGACCUCUUGUACCACUACCUAAGGCAUGGUGGUCCCUCCUCUUAAUCGGCCCAUUUCCUGGUACGGCUCUCUUCUCUUUCCUCUUUAAUCCUUCCAGCUGGUCUGUCUUAAUCCGUGCCGCCUUUUCCUCCUCUAUUUCUAUGUCUCUCUUAGCCUGCUCGUAAGCAACUGAAUAUGUCUGAAUAACUGGGCUUCUCAAGUUAUAUCACAUCCGUCUUAUCUUCACUCCUUCUUUCAAUCCCCUUAAUGCCUGAGGAUGGUUGAAGGCUCCCAAGUCGAGGACAGCACGGUGGAACCUUUUGAUGAAUUCCCGAAGGGUUUCCUCCUCUCUCUGCUUCAUGCUCGUUAACUCCAUCAUAUCAUCUUCCGGUGCCAUUACCCCACGAAACUGCUCUGCAAAUUCCUGGCACAUCUGCUCGAAGGCUUUAAUGCUCCCUCGAGGAAGUUUCCUGUACCACUCGCGUGCUCGUCCCUCUAGAGAUAGUGGGAACACCCUGCAUCUUUGGGCUUGAGAUAGUCCUUGCACCCCGGUCAUGUUGUUGAAGCGCUCUAUGUGCACCAACGGAUCAGUUCGCCCCAAAUAUCUGAGGUCUGGGAGGCGAAAAUCUCUUGAAAUGACUGCCCUCAUGAUCUCUGCCGAGAGCGGGGUUUCUCCGUCCAGCAUUAUCCUCCAACCAGGUGCUCUACUCCUUCCUUGCAUAUCAUCAAUUACUUGCGCUAGUUUGCGCACUUCCUUCUCUAGCUGCAUUGCACGACCAGGGUCACGUGCUGUAACUUGAUCCCGCUCUUUCUCUACAUCAUGUAAGUAUUGCCUGAGCUCUGUUUCCUCUGCAUUCACCACCCCAUCAUCCUCAUCAAAAAUCUAUCUUCUUGGGGAUUGCUCUUCUUCUCUAUGAAUUCCUCCCCGUAAAGAUAAGUUACCUCUCUCACCACCAAAUCUCCUGGUGGUCUGACUUCUCAUCAUACCAUCGUGCCCUGGUGCCACUCUGCCACCUCUCACCCUUUUCUCAUGGGUUCCCCUUCGUUCACUCCUUAGUUCAUGUAGGAUGGUUGUCAGGGUCUCCAUCUGCUUUUCCAUCCGUUCCAUUCGGUCAUGCAUGGCUUUUUCCCGUGCUUCAAUGGCUAUCUCCCUUAACGUCAUGGAUUCGUUAAGCCUCAUAUCACCUCCUUGUGCACUACUUCCUCCUACAUCCAUUGUUUCUUCUCUUGCUUUGUUUUUCCUUUCUCUGUCAACAGAAGUUUUUUUAUCAGCUCCCUACAGACGGCGCCAAAAUGUUGAUGCGAGAUUCUGGUUACCCACUCGACCACGACCAGGAUCUCUGCUCAAUCAACUAACUCGACCACGAUCAGGAUCUCUCCUCGUAUGCUUUCUUCUUCAAAAAUUCCUGCGUACACAGAAACAAGUCAGAGCACGCUGGUUGUUUUCUCGGCGUAAACCCUCCGAUGCUCAAGUCAAAUAUGAAGGUUUUGUGUUCCUGGGAACAUUAGCCACUAGUCUUAAGCUUUGCUUUUAGUAUCGACUGUUGAAUGCUCUCUUUAUCUCAAUUUCUGUAUUAAAAGUUCUAACCCUUUUACCUUCGUUGGCUGCCUUUUUAUAGGCUCCUCCUGAGUCCAGAUCCUCCCCUCCAUUCACGUCCGUUACCUUCCCACCUCUCGAAAGUGGAUGCUCCGUUUCCGUAAUCGUGGGUGGUUGCAUGGCCUUCGUGCCUCGAUUCUCGGGCUGGAGAGUACGUCUUGCCAACUGUCGUUGAUUGGGUCUCCUCGCUUCAAACCUUAGCAGGACCAUUAUGCUUCUAACAGGAGAUCGGCUUCGCGGAUGGUGUAUUCGUGGACGAGCAGAUAUUCCUGCUUCUGUUCCCAUGCUACCAGACCUCAGCUCAUCACGGCUGGUCUCGUCGAAGUACAUCCCCCAAACAAUCUUCAUAUUAAUUACGAAAAUAUCCUCUAAAUUUUAACUUAACUAUUCAUAAUUCAAUGUCAUUCGGAUAUUUCGUUUAUUUGAGUAGGGAUUAGGGGUCAAUUUGAUACAAAUUCAAAAUUAUCCUCAUUUGCGAAGGUGAUAAAAGUUAGGGAUUUAGUUUGGAUGUCACUAGCCACAAAUAUUAAACGCAUGCAUCUAAUUCAAAAUUAGAGGCAUUAUCGUUAUAUUGACAUGUGUCACCAUCCCACAACCUCUCCAAUGAAAAAUUGACAUGCAUCUUGUGUGCUUCUUAUCAAAAUCCUGAAAAUUAAUCACAAAAGUUAUAUUUUUAUUAUAAAAAGAAGAAAGAAACUCCAUGAGUGAAGAAAAAAAAAAAAGACUUACAUUAAUAGUUUGGAUAAUCUAGAUUUCAAGUUGUCUAUAUUAGCUUGAUAUUUUUAUAAAUAUCAAGAUUUCAAGUUGUCUAUAGUAGCUUGAUAUCUUCUAAAAAAAACUCCAUCAACAUAUAUUUUAAUUUUACGUUAAUUAAUAAAUAGAAAAUCCAUUUUAGAAUUAAUUAAAGCAUUAUUUAUUGUUGCCAAAGAAGGAAGUAUUUAGCGAUAAGAAAAAAGUGUCUCAAAUAUAUGUUUAAAAAAAAAUAAUCAUGGUUGGUUGGACUGAUUGAAUUUUUCUUUUCUUUUUUCUUUUUUAAGAACUAAGACAAUUGGAUUGAUUGAGUAAUAAUAAAAUAUAUUUAUUUGGCAAAUGGCAGGUAGGCUUUCUUCUGGUGCAGAUUGAUUAGAGAGAAUAUAUAACAAUUUUAAGCUCGUAAGAUUCGGAACCUGCUUAUCUGUCGUGUGGGAAUCACUUCCGUGUCUUAUUUUUCUAGAAAAAUCUAGACCAUUGGAUUUACCAUUGGGCAGUAGAGAAAUGUUGAUCUUGAUUCCUGAUCAGGAUCGAAGUUUGAUUCUAUCUAACAUGAUAUCAGAUUGCGAAGCAAGCUAGUUGUGAGUAACUUGUUCUAUUUUGAUGGAAGAAACACAAGUUCUAAUAAAAAAUUCUAAGUAUACAUUUUUUUUUUUAAUUUUUUUAUUGUGAUCAAUAUAACUAGUCAAAUCUAUUUUUAAACAUUUUUUUUAAAUAUUUUGUUAACAAUGAUAUGAAAAUAUUCGAACCCCUCCUCAUAUAGUAAAGUGAAUUACUAUCCAACGAUCCAACUAACGUCUUCAAAUUGUAAAUUGCAAAUCGUGUGUUUGCUCCAUUACAGAGUUUCUUCAAUUUAAAAUAGAGAAUCGUUUGUGUUCUAGAUUAAUCGUGGGUCUAUAUCCAAAUCUAAAAAUUGACUAACUUGAUUUCUAUUAAAUUCUUAACCCUAACAAGAAAAAUAGAAGAUUAAAAAUGACUAAUUUGGUUUCUAUUAAUUUGAGUAACGAUUAAUAUUUAUCAUUCAAUAGUCACUUAUAUUAUCAAAAUCUUGGGUCGAAAAUAUUAGGAUAGGUGAUAAUUGGAAUUAAGUUGUAGAUAAGAUAGAAAUGGAUUUGGAGAGAGAUUGGAAUCCUGGGUAAAUCCGGUACACGUUGGUGUGUUAAAUUCUCGUUGACUUCACGUUGACCGAGGCAUUAUUGGAAGAAACAAGCAAGCUUAUUUUCUUCUCUCAUUUUUAACCUUUGUCUAAAUUUAUUGGUGUGAGGCCUUUGAGAUGGUAAAGUGUUAAAUCUGAGAAGAGUACCCACACUAUUACUCUUAUUUUAUCACGUUUUAUCACAAUAUUACUCUUAUAGUCAAUGUUUGAUUCGCACGAAAAAAAAUUUGCGAGGAUUGUGAGGGUUGAUGCAAUAUAAUUUAGAUGCAAAGUGUUUACAAGUGCGAUGCUUCGUAAGUGUACUCGAAUCAUUAUAAACUCACGUUAUUUUCAUAGUGAUUAUUUCAUUUGCACGUGAAUAUAAUCAUAUAUGUGGAGAAUUUUUUUUCCUAAAUUAUGGUCUUAUUUAGUAUUGAGAUGUUAUAUCUUUUAAAUUAUAAUUAAUAUUAGUAAAAAAACUGCAACUAUAAAAUAAAAGUUAAUAUUAUGUCCUGAAUAUAAUUGUUAAAUAAUAAUUUUGACAAAAUUAGUGAAGACAUACAGAUUUUUUUAUCAUAUAAGUGUAAAAUUCUAUCAACUUAGCUUUUAAGUUAUACAGCAUCUAUUGUUUACCAAAUACUUUAGUGUUGUAACUUUUAAGUUAUAACUGUCUAACCUUUAACCUCAAUCUCAAACGAGGCUUAUAAAGAUCAAGGAUUUCCUCAUAAAAAUUAUUACGUCAUGUGAUUGCUUAUUUAAUUUAUAUUUUCGUCAUUUAUCUUUAUUAAUUAAACAUGCACAUAUUAUUUCCUUUUAUUUUCUGCUUGGUAACCCGUAAAUACUAAUCCAGUACUACUAAUUUCAGACAGAAAAUUUUGAACUCUAGGCUGCAGUUUGACUCAAAAUGAUGGUCACUGGCUUCGCACCAUUUUACCGGUAUACAUUUCUACAAACUGAACAAGGCUAUUGAUUAUUAUUAUUAUUAUUUUAAUUUGUUUAUAAAUUACUAUUUUAAUUUUCACUUUUUAUUGGGUUGUUUAACGGAUUGGUGAAGCUGGUGGUCGUUGAUGCACUCACAAGGUACAAUUUUAUUUUAUAAUUUCAAAUUCGUAUUUUAAAACGCAGGUACAUUAUGUAUAUACAUAAUUAUUGAUUUUCGUAUGAGGGUGUUUUGAAAUAUUGCUAAAAGACCAAACUUUAAUAAACUAUUUUUGAUCUUUUUUUUUUUUCCUAAAGUUUGGGUGAUAUGCGCAUUUUAAAUUCACGUGGAACAAAAGUUAAUGUAUGUAUAAAAAUUCUUUUAUUUUACUGAGCAAAAUAGGCAAGCGAAAAAGUUUUGGCAAAUGAGUUGCAACUGAAUUCAAAACCAAUACAAUGCGAGCAUAGGAAAGAGGCCAGUGUUUAGGAUUUGAAUUUAGGUAGCGUUUACUUUUUGGAUUGGAUUGGGAAUCCUGGGGAGUGGGAAUCCUAGGAUUGAGAGUGUGGAGUGGGAGUGGGAGUAGGUUGUUUACUUACACUGGAAUGGAAGCAUGGAAUGGAGAUCAGAAUCCAAUUUAUGUGUUUACUUUGUCUUGGAUUGGGAGUAAAUAGUUUCAAAUUACAAUUUUAUCCUUAUUUAAAGAAUUAUAAUUUUAAUUACAAAACUAAUAAAAUAUAUAUUUAAUGAAUAAUAUUUAUUUUAUUAUAUUUGUAAAUUUAUUAUAAUUAUUAAUAUUCUUAAUUAUGAACAAUAAAUUAUUAAUUGUAAUUUUAAUAUAAAAUGAAAUGUUAUUUUAUUUAAUAUAAUUAUAUUAAAUUUAUUAUUAUAUAAAAUAAUAAUAUAAUAUUAUUUAGUACAAAAUUAAUAUUUUCUUAGAAUAAAGUAUUUAUUAUUAUUAUUAAAUAAAAUAUAGUACUAUUAUUUUUAAAAUAAAUAUAAUAAUAUUAUAUUUAUUAAUUCUCUAUUAAUAUAAUAAUAUUAUUUUAAAAUAAUUUUAACUUAGAAUCAAUGUAAAUUAUUAUUUAGUUAAAUAUAAUAUUAUUAUUUAAAUAAAUAUAAUAUUAUUAUUUAAAUAAAUAUAAUAUUAUUUAUUUUAUUUUAUUAAUUAUAAAACAUAAAAUAAAAAAAAAAAGGGUAGAAAUGGGAGAGGUGGGAGUGGAUUCCCACUCCCACCUCCCCCAAUGGGAGUCCCACUCCCACUCCCCACUCCAAAAAUGGGUGGGGCCCACGGAGUGGGACUCCCAAUUCCUUCUCAUUUUAAGUAAGUAAACGCUGGAGUGGGAGGAAUCCACACUCCUCACUCCCACUCCAGCAAGUAAACACAACAUUAGUAUUAAGCUGAAUUUUAUGGUAAGCUCUUUUAUAGUACUGUGAUUGAUAAGCUCAGCCCCGGAUUUGCUUUUGCUUUUGCUUUUACUUCAAGUGAAAGAGAGAGGAAACCUUUUGUUUUUUUCUUUGGUUUUCAACUAUGUUACCUAUACAAAGAGUCAAGAUACCUGCCAUAAGUGAUGGUGUUAAAAAGAUUAAGCAGCGCACACAAUCUUACUGUCGUCUAGACCAUCCAGUGAUGACUCUAGUCUUUUGGUUACGUUAGCUUUAGUUGAAAGAAGGGCCAAUUUAACAAAGACUAGAUUUGAUGGCUUACUAUGUUUAAUGUAAUGCUAAUUCUCAGGGAAUCUAAUGUUAUAACUUAUAAGACGAUCUCCUAUGAUGAAUAACAGUAACACAUUACUGUGAUUGAGAAAACUCAGUUACAAUAAACUAUUCAUUUACUCAUUGCGGAGAUUGAAUAGCAAAUAGAGAAUAGAAUGAAGCAGAGGAAUCUCAUUGCCAAUAAAAUUGACCCUCUUUAAUGUUAUAUGGCACAGGUGUGGAGGAAGAACAAGUUACUUGCAGUUUUUAUUGUAAAAUAUACAGGUAUGACCAUGAUCAUUACAGUUGGGUUUUGAUAAUUUCAGAUGCUUUUUAAAAAAAAAAAAAAUUAUGACAUCUUUGAUUUACGGUAGUUUUGCAGAAAAAAAAAUAUAAAAAUUAAGAGGGAUGAGUUAAACUGACGAUUACAAUCAUUCCAGCAAUGCUGAUGAGUGAUACAUCACUUGAAAUUUACUUGUCAGUUGCUGAAAUGAUGAAAAAAAAACAAUAAACGAUAACAGUAAUAAUGUUCCGUUGCUGAAAUUCAAUUUUGACUUUCUACUCUUGGCUUUUAUGGAAAGUAAAAUGACUUGUAUAUUAUCCUCAUACAAUCCACUCUACAUAAUGAUAUCAUUUUAAUAAGGCAAUGGCUGAUGAUCUCCAUUUAAAAACUACAUCAUUUUUUUUGCUUCAUUUAACUUUUUGGUUGUUGAAAAUAACCUUAAUUAUCAAAUAAUUGGAGAAAGAGUAAAGAACAUUUAACAAAUUUAUGUGCAAAAAAAAAAAAGGAGAAGUUGAAGAGAAAGGGUGCUUGCAGAAGUGGGUGUCAAAGAUAAAUCGGUCCAUAAGAAUUAUUGUGGUUAUUUUUUUGGCAAUAUAAGAACUUAUGCGAUAGCAUUUUUUAUGGGUGCAUAUAACCUCCCUUUAAAAAUAUAUAUAAUAAUUACUGCUUAAUAUAGUAUUAAAUACAAAAAUAUCAAUAUUUGACUACUUAAAUUUAUAUCAUUAGGUCCUUAAAAUUUAAAAUGGAAGAUAUGAAAGGAAAUAUAUAUAAAUUUCAUUGUCCUGGUAAAGGGCCCUCUUAUAAUCUUAUAAUAUUUGAACUUUGAUAGAUUUUUUGAAACAAAUGUACUUUUAUUUGUGUACAAUCAAUAUUUACUCAUUUAUUAUAUUUUAAUUUAUUAACUAUUAAUCAUGUAAGUAUACUUAGUCAGAAAAAUUAUAUCAAGAGAAAAUUCUAAUUUCACGCAAAAACAAAUACCAAAACAAAUAUCUCAAUUUCUAUACUAUUCACUUUCCUGUAGAAUCAAUUAUUUAAAAUGCAAGUUUGUGGCUACAGAAAACUCGCCAAAGAAAAAAGAUAAUAACAAUUGAGCAUUGAUAGCAAAACUAAUGCAUCCAAUUCUUCUUGACUUGAUGAGAUGGCGCCAUAACGUAGACACAAGUACCUAAAUUGACCGGCACUGAGUGAUGUGAAUACUACCAGCCAGUUCAUCUCUUCCAGUCUUGCUUAAUCACAAUCACAAACACCACGAGAUCGACAUUUGCAUUAUAUAUAUCUUCUGCAAUCGAAACACCUUGCAUUACCAAAUAAGCCCGUAACAGACAAAGCAAUCUUUCAUGGAGAGAAACCUUAGUCUCAGUAUGAUCACUGUGUCAUUAACCUACUGCCUGCUUCUUUGCUUGGUUGCUGCAGCAGCAGCAGCGGCAAGCAACAAUAUUACCACAGACCAACAAGCUCUUCUUGCCCUGAAAGAUCAUAUAAUUUAUGAUCCUACCAGCCUUUUAGCUCACAAUUGGACCUCGAAUACCUCUGUUUGUACCUGGAUUGGCAUCACUUGUGAUGCCAAUAGCCAUAGAGUCAAAACCUUAGAUAUUUCUCAAUUCAAUCUACAAGGCACCAUCCCUCCUCAACUUGGAAAUCUCUCUUCACUCACAACACUUAAUCUUAGUCAUAACAGGCUUUCUGGAAGUGUUCCCUCCUCCAUCUACACCAUGCAUACGCUAAAAUUUCUUGACUUCACUGAUAACCAGCUCUCUGGUUCAGUGUCUUCCUUCGUCUUCAACAUGUCUUCAAUAUUAGUAAUUCGUUUGACCAAUAACAUAUUUUCUGGUGAGCUUCCGAAAAAUAUUUGCAACUAUCUUCCUUAUUUGAAGGCCCUUUUCUUAAACAAAAACAUGUUUCAUGGCAAAAUUCCUUCUGCUUUAUCAAAGUGCAAACAACUGCAACAAUUAAAUUUGCAGUUCAAUAAUUUAUCCGGUGCAAUACCAAAAGAAAUCGGCAACUUGACUAUGCUCAAAGGGAUAUAUCUCCUCUACAACAAACUCCACGGUAUGUUCACAAUACUAUAUAAAUAUUUUAAUUUAUCACUUAUUAUCUUUCUUGAAUAAUUUAGUUAAGAUCUUGUAAGAGAGAUUUUUUGCAUCUACGUUAAUUUACCAGGUGAGAUACCCCACGAAAUCGCUAAUCUUCCAAAUCUAGAGGCUUUAGCGCUUGGAAUCAACAACGUAGUUGGUGUGUUACCAGCUCCCAUCUUCAACAUGUCAACACUGAAGGUACUUAUCCUCAUAAAUAACUCUCUCUCCGGAAGCCUUCCAUCAAGAGUAGACCUUUCACUUCCAACUGUUGAGCAACUUAACUUGGCACUUAAUAGAUUUUCUGGAACCAUUCCUAGUUCCAUCACCAAUGCUUCUAAGCUCACCUUUCUAGAGUUGGGAGCAAACACAUUUUCGGGGUUUAUUCCAAACACAAUUGGUAAUUUAAGAAACCUUAAGUGGCUCGGCUUGGCUAAUAACUCCUUGACAUCUUCAACCUCAAAAUUGAGCUUUCUUUCCUCUUUGGCAAAUUGCAAGAAAUUAAGAUUCGUAAACGUAAUAGGCAAUCCACUGGACGGCUUCCUUCCAAGUUCAAUAGGUAAUCUUUCUGUGUCUUUGGAAACACUUGGCAUCGGCAAUUGCAGUAUUAGUGGCAACAUUCCUCCAGCAAUUAGCAAUUUAAGCAACUUGUUGACCUUAGUAUUAGACGGCAAUAAAUUGACUGGACCAAUCCCAACUACAUUCGGCCAACUGCAGAAACUCCAAGGCUUAGAUCUUGCAUUCAAUAAGUUGGUAGGUUCAUUCCCAGAUGAGCUUUGCCAUCUGGCAAGGCUGGAUCAAUUGGUCUUAUUUGGCAAUAAGCUUUCAGGAUCUAUACCUUCAUGCUUAAGUAACCUCACUUCUCUAAGAUCUCUCUAUUUAGGGUCCAAUAAGUUUACUUCUGUUUUUCCCUCAACCUUCUGGAGCCUAAAAGACAUCUUGUUCUUUGACUUUUCAUCAAAUUUCUUGGUUGGUCCUCUUUCUUUAGAUAUAGGAAAUUUGAAGGUGCUUCUAGGAAUAAGUUUAUCAAAAAAUAAUUUAUCCGGUGAUAUCCCAGCCACAAUUGGAGGACUGAAAGAUCUUCAAUUUAUGGACCUAGCAUAUAAUAGAUUGGAAGGCCCAAUUCCUAAAUCAUUUGGUGACUUGAUAAGUUUAGAAGUUCUGAAUUUAUCAAAUAAUAAAAUCUCUGGGUCUAUUCCAACAUCCAUGGAGAAACUCUUUUACCUCGGAGAGUUAAAUCUCUCUUUCAAUAAACUAGAAGGUGAGAUUCCUAGUGGAGGAACUUUUGCCAACUUCACAGCUGAGUCAUUUAUGGGAAAUGAGUUUUUGUGUGGUUUACCAAAUCUUCAAGUCCAACCAUGCAAAGUUAGCAAGCCGAGGACAGAACAUAAAUCAAGGAAAAAGAUACUUCUCAUUGUGAUUGUUUUGCCAUUGAGUAUUGCUCUAACAAUAGCAAUCACUCUAGCUCUCAAAUCUAAGCCGAUCGAAUGUGGAGAAAGAAGCACAGUGUUGUCAAAUGAUAGUAUCUUGUCAUCACAAGCAACACUAAGAAGAUUUUCAUACUUAGAACUUUUACAAGCAACAGAUAAUUUUGCUGAAAACAGCAUAAUUGGCAGAGGAGGUUUCGGUUCCGUUUAUGGAGCAAGACUUGAAGAUGGGAUGAAGAUUGCAAUAAAAGUGUUUCACCGGCAAUGUGCAAGCGCAUUGAAGAGUUUUGAGGCUGAAUGUGAAGUGUUAAAAAAAAUUCGCCAUCGAAACCUUAUCAAAGUUAUCAGCAGUUGCUCGAACGAUGACUUCAAAGCAUUAGUCCUAGAAUACAUGUCCAACGGGAGCUUAGGGGAUUGGCUGCAUUCGAGCAAUUACGUGCUGAAUAUUUUUCAAAGGUUGAACAUAAUGAUUGACGUUGCAUCAGCUUUAGAAUACCUCCACUUCGAUCAUUCAACUCCUAUUAUUCAUUGUGACUUAAAGCCUAGUAAUGUAUUGUUGGACGAAAAUAUGGUUGCUCAUUUGAGUGAUUUUGGCAUAGCAAAGCUUUUAAGUGGAGAAGAUGAGUCUACGAUGCGAACAAAAACCCUUGCCACUAUAGGUUAUAUGGCACCAGGUUUGCUUCAAACAACUUUUUUUUUUAAGUUCAUUUUAAAUUUUCUAAAUCAUUGAUUUUUACGAUCCUCAUAUCAAAUUGUUAUUGAUUAUUUAUCUAAUUGUGAAAUUAAUUUGAUUCAUAGAGUAUGGCAUAGGAGGAGAAGUAUCUACAAAAAGCGAUGUUUACAGCUACGGGAUUAUGUUGAUGGAAACUUUUACCAAGAAAAAACCCACAGAUGAAAUUUUUGUUGGAGAAUUGAGCUUAAAGCAUUGGGUUAAUGACUUGCUUCCUAAUUCAUUAGUGGAAGUUGUGGACAAAACUCUGCUAAGUGGAGAGGAAAAACAUUUUGCAUCAAAGGGGCAAUGUCUGUUGUCUAUCUUUAGUUUGGCUCUGGAGUGUACAAUGGAAUCACCGGAAAAGAGGAUUAAUGCAAAAGAUAUUGUUACCGGAUUACUCAAGAUAAGAGACACAUUGAGUAAAAGGAUAGGAAAUUUAAGUUAAUUUCGUUUGCUUUCAUUGAUAGUUAAUUCGAAUUCAUGUAAUAAGUGCAAGAAUCUUAUAUCUUUUCCUUUGAUAUAUUCUUUUUCUUGAGAAAACUGUUGUAGUCAUCUUGUUUCCAUGGGAAGAGUUGAUUUAGUUCUUCCAAAAAAUGCUACUGAUGACCUUUGUUUAAUACUUUCUCUUUUUUUGCACGUGUUUAGGUAGAACAGUGGUUUGGCUGCAGGCUAAUAAGUCAAGCUACGCCAAAAGCGUAUGAUUUAAUUUAUUAAACAUAACUUCAAGUUCAAGAAGUGUUUCUCAUUGCCACCAAUGCUUUGGACACCUGUUGGAAGGUUUGUUGUCCUCAGCUUUUGUUUAGAGCAAAAGUUCGAGUCCCAUAAAGGCUCAAACAUUCCUUUCCUUCAUCCCGAGGGCGCCUUCUGUCCUCUGUUUUCUGUUUCCACACACAAAUAGCAAAAAGAAAUUAGAAUGACAACUGGGACAUAUAUAAGAGUGAAAUAAUUAAAAAAAUUAUGCUUUUUUGUCUGUCGUGUUAAAAUCGUAAGUACCGAAGUACUGUGAAAGAGAUUAAUUUACAGAAACUGAAGCCAAGGGUUCAAAAAAAAACUAUUGAUGUAGCUAGGAUGCAAUGUCAUAUUCAUACAGAGAUGAAGUAUAUUAUUUACGGCUGGUAAAGACUAGGAAUUGAUGUAGCUAGAAUCCAAAGAUGAUAAGGUAUGUUGUGCACUAUUGUUUUAUUCUACGGUCAAUCUUGACCCUUGGUGCUUGGCUCUCAAUCUUGUCCAUUGAUCUUCUCUGAUCUUGGAAACUUCAAGACCUUUCACUCUCAUGCCUUAUUAUUGGUGUCUUCCAUGCUGUAGCUUUCAAAUACAAGCUUUCCCGCCAACUUGCCAAUUAUUUGUCCGUUGGUGCAUUUUAUCAAACAGUUUGGAUACUUAUACCAAACGCCUUCUGUUUUAACUCCCCCCCUCAAGCUCAAGCAUCUGGGAAGACAUUAAUAAGCUUGUUUCUCAAGUAUAUAUAUCUGAAAAUUAAAUUUUAUAAAUUAUAUUCGGACUCUACAUUUUCUAAUGAACAUUGGUUUGGCUUAUAAGCUUAUUAUACUCAGGUUUGGUAGGAGCCAUAUCACAAUGUUAACGCUAACCAGCAGUACUGCCAAAGCUGGCCAACUCAGCCUGCAAGUUCAUAGCAACCAUAGUUACAGUCCUAGUCCGGUACAAAAAUCGUAAAUAUCAUUUACAUUACAAUGGUGUGGGGGGGGGGGGGGGGGUUUGUUGGGUGGCUGGAGAGGGAAUCAACAAAGAUCUAGAACGAAGGGUAGGCUUGUAUCCGUAACCCAUGUCACAGUGUUAAUGCUAACCGUGGACCUUAUUAUAUUAGUUGCUGGACUAUUAUUACUUUUGAAUUGCCAUCUUUGAAUUUACGUUCAUUUCUGCCUCGACAAGAUGUUUGUAAAAAUAUGCUAAUUAUUAAUGUGCCGUGUACAAAUAAGCAUGUUACUGUGCAAGGAUUGUAGUCAUGAUACAGUGGUGCAAAAUGUACAUGCUACUUCUUCUUUUCCUCAGUUAGGAUCACCGUCGUCACCAUUUAAUUCUAAGUCCACCCAUGCGGCCUAUGCAAUUGAAAUCAUGUGACCAUGUAAUUUUAGGUUCUGAUCUUCCUUGUGGGGUUAAACCUCAAAACUGUGACCAUUUUGGGACUUUUAAUCAGUUCCAAUCAUUUUCUGGUUCCCAUUCGUCCACCCAAGCCUUGAUUCCCCCGAUAUAGCAUUGCAAUAUAUAUAGGAAUAUUAAGGUUGUGUACAGUUUUUUUCUUUUCUGUUUUUAAUUUGAUAUAAAUUAUCAAUCAUGAAUCUACAUAAAGUUUCAACUAGGCUACUACCACAAUAAACAUUUGGAUGAACUAUUAUUGAAACCUUAUUGAGAAGUAGGACAUGUCGCAUACCAAUGCACUGACAUAUCUUCAAAUAGUGGUAACUCCACACAACAUGGCACAAUAAAUUAAGAGUUAUAUAGAUAAAAUCUUUCACUCUUUGGUAAUCAUCAAUGUCGGCAUGACAAUGCGUCCCACAAAUAUGGCUCCUUAUCAAAAUUCAUAAAUCAAAACAAAAAUAGAGAAUCAUAUUUGUUCUAGAUUGUAGUGAUGGUUGUUGAUGCACUCACAAUUUACAAUUUUAUUUAAUAUCUUCAAAUUCGCAUUUUAAAAUGCCCAAAUGUUUGUGUAUACAUAAUUAGUAAUCGAUUCUCAAGCAUGGCCAUUUAAAAGCAUUGCUGAAAGACAAAAUUUUAAUUUACUAUUUUUUGUCUUUUAAUUUUCUUUAAGUUUUUAAUGAUUCCGCAUUUUAAAAUCCUGUGGAACGUGUAUGUAAAAUUCUUUUAUCUUUUAGAGGAAAAUGGGCAAGAGAAGAAGAUUUGGCAAAGGAAUUGCAACCGCAUUUGGAGCUAGUUUUAAUUUUGUCUUUUAAUUCUUUUACACUUGGCUUUUGUUAUUGAUGUCAACUUCGAUGUGUGUGAAGACUCGAGCUCACUCCCUUAUGAGCUAGUUUUAUUUUUCUACUUUCACAUUAAGAAAAAUACUCCUAUUUUUAAGGAAAAGUCAAGUACCUGUAGUUGUGAAGACUCGAGCUCACUCCCUUAUGAUAAAUCUUCAUAUUAAUUACGUAAAUAUCCUCUAAAAUUUUAAAUUAGCUAUUCAAAAUUUGAUGUUAUACGGGUAUUUCAUUUAUUUGAGUAGGGGUUGGGGGUCAAUUGGAUACAAAUUCAAAAUUAUCCUUACUUGAGAUGGUGAUAAAAAUUGGGGAUUUAAUUUGGAUGUCAUUAGCUACAAAUAUUAAACUCAUACAUUUAAUUCAAAAUUGGAAAGCUGAUAUAUGCGCAUCAUCCCACAACCUCUCCAAUGAAAAAUUAACACGUUUCUUGUGUGCAUUUGAUCAGAAUCCUGAAAAUUAAUCACAAAAUUGUCCUGGAAAAAAAAAUGCUUACAUAAAUGGUUUGAAAAAUCUAGAUUUCAAGUUGUCUAUAUUAGCUUGAUAUUUUUAUAAAUAGUCAUCCUCUCAAAAAAAUUCCAUCAAAAUAUAUUUUAAUUUUAUGUUAAUUCAUAAACAUGAAAAAAUCAUUUCAGAAUUAAUUAAAACAUAAUUUAUUGUUUCUCAAAAAAGGUAGAACUUAGUGAUAAGAAAAAAGUAUCUCAAAUAUAUGUAAAAAAAAAAAAAUCUUGGUUAGUUGGAAUGAUUGAAUUUGUUUUUUUUUUCUUUUUUAAGAAUUAAGACAAUCGGAUUGAUUGAGUAAUAAUAAUAUAUAUUUAUUUGGCAAAUGGCAGGUAGGCUUUCGUCUCAUGCAGAUUGAUUAGAGAGAAAAUAUAACAAUUUUAAGCUCGUCAGAUUCGAAGCUGCUUUCCUGUCGUGUGGGGAUCACUUCCGUGUCUUAUUUUUCUAGAAAAAUCAGGACCAUUGGAUUUAUGCGAAUCGUACUGAACAUUGGAAUUGAUGUAUAAGAAAAAAAUUCUGUAGUUUAAGAAGAACAAAAAGGCAUGUUGAAUAGAUUACAAUAGUUUAAGGAAAAAAAUUAUUCAAUUGGGAAUUUUUUUUUCUUUAAUUUUUGUUGUACUUGAUUGAGAUUUCUCCUUAGUCCUUAGAGUUUUAAGUUUGGAAACCGUAGGAUCAGUAAUUUCGUACUUCCUUUGCAAGCUGAGUAUAAGGAUGAAAUUCUUUUAAGAAAUUAAAAAAGAUAAAAAAAAAGCAUACCAAUAGGUAAUUAUAAAUAACCACAAAUAAAUAUAAACAAAAUGUUUAUGAAGUAAAUUAAACAUGCUCAUAUUAUUUUCUUUUAUUUUCUGCUUGGAAACCCAUAAAUACACUAAUCCAGUAUUACUAAUUUCAGACAGAAAAUUUUGAAUUUAACCAGUAUACACUAAUCCAGUAUUAUUUUUAUUAUUAUUUUAAUUUGUUUAUAAAUUACUAUUUUAAUUUGUUUAUAAAUUACUAUUUUAAUUUUCACUUUUUAUUGGGUUGUUUAACGGAUUAGUGAAGCUGGUGGUCGUUGAUGCACUCACAAGGUACAAUUUUAUUUUAGAAUUUCAAAUUCGUAAUUUAAAAUGCAGGCACAUUAUGUAUACAUAAUUAUUGAUUUUCAUAUGUGGGUGUUUUGAAAUAUUGCCAAAAGACCAAACUUUAAUAAACUAUUUUUGAUCUUUUUUUUUCCUUUGUACCUAAAGUUUGAGUGAUAUCCGCAUUUUAAAUUCAUGUGGACCAAAAGCUAAUGUAUGCACAAAAUUCUUUUAAUUUUUUCCGAGAAAAAUGGGUAAGAGAAGAAGAUUUUUCUCUUGAAAAAGAAAAAAUAAUACGUUGCAAGCAUAGGAAAGAGGCCAGUGUUUUGGAUUUGAAUUUAGUAUUGGGUUGAAUUUUAUGCUAAGCUCUUUUAUAAUACUUUAUAGAAUAAAAAUGUAAGGGAUAUUUGGCUAGGCAUGUACUUUAUAGAAUAAAAAUGUAAUAAUGUAAGUCAGUGCAAUGAUCUGCUGUCAUAGUAGUUAUAAAUAUUUAUGUGUAAUACAGUAACAUGAUGCUUAAUCAGUUAAAAAAAAAUUGUAUAUCUUUUUUUAUUUUUUUUAUUGUGAUCAAUAUAACUAGUCAAAUUUAUUUUUAAAUAUUUUUUUAAAAAUAUUUUUAUCGUGUGUUUGCUCCAUUACAGGGUUUCUUCAAUUUAAAAUAGAGAAUCAUUUGUGUUCUAGAUUAAUCGUGGGUCUAUAUCCAAAUCCAAAAAUUGACUAACUUGAUUUCUAUUAAGUUCUCAACCCUAACAAGAAAAAUAAAAGAGUAAAAAUGACUAUUUUGGUUUCUAUUAAUUUGAGUAACGCUUAAUAUUUAUCAUACAAUAGUCACUUAUAUUAUCAAAAUCUUGGGUCGAAAAUAUUAGGAUAGGUGAUAAUUGGAAUUAAGUUGUAGAUAAGAUAGCCUUUCAAAAAAAAGAAAAGAAAAAAAGUUGUAGAUAAGAUAGAAAUGGAUUUGGAGAGAGAUUGGAAUCCUGGCUAAUCCGGUGCACGUUGUUGCGUUAAAUUCUCGUUGACUUCACGUUGACCGAAGCAUUAUUGGAAGAAACAAGCAAGCUUAUUUUCUUCUCUCAUUUUUUACUUUUGUCUAAAUUUAUUGAUGUGAGCCCUCUGAGAUGGUAAAGUGUUAAAUCUGAGAAGAGUACCCACACACCCAUUUGUUGGAGGAUUAACAAUUAAAACACACUAUUUUAUUUCUUCAACAACACUCCUCACCAAUUACAACUCUUAUUUUUCACUCUCUACACCUUAGAGAUUUUGCUGCUUCACUUGAUGUUUAAACCAAAAGGGAGAGGGGGUAUUUAUAUAUGAAACAAACUAAUCACAACCAUUCAUUUAUUCAACUAAUAAACACAUCCUCACCAUCCAUUAAAACCUACCACUCACCUACUUCACCAACCACACCUAACACACCUAACACAAAUAAUUCAAACCUCACCAACCAUACCUACUCAUGGAACCUUCCAUGAGUUGGGCUUGAUUUAUUCAUCUUGGAUCAAGUUUAUGAUCCAACACCUCUCCUUAAACUUGAUCCUGUGACACCAAGCAAACUUCUGAAUCUUACAAAGUCUUCUUGUUUGAGUGGUUUAGUGAAGAUAUCAGCUGCUUGAUCUUGUGAUUUUACAUACUUGAUUUGCACUUCUUUUCUUGCAAUACACUCUCUUAUGAAAUGAUAGCGAGUGGCUAUGUGUUUACUUCGAUCAUGAAAGACUGGAUUCUUGGAUAGGGCAAUUGCUGAUUUGUUAUCAACACAAAUCUCAGUUGGCUCUUCUUGUGCCAAACUCAACUCCUUUAGCAAAUUUCUGAGCCAAAUUGCAUGACAAACACUUGAUGUGGCAGCUACAUAUUCAGCUUCACAGGUGGAUAGCGUGACAAUUGGUUGCUUCUUUGACAUCCAUGUGAAAGCAGUAUCUCCUAUGAAGAACACAAAUCCUGUGGUGUUAUUUCGAUCAUCUACAUCUCCACCCCAAUCGCUAUCGCUAUAUCCAACAAGCUUGUAGUCAUUAGAAAAUGAGUAUAGCAAGCCGAAAUUAGUUGUACCUUUGAUGUAGCGAAGGAUUCUUUUUGCAGCUUUAAAAUGGGUGGUCUUUGGAUUCUCCAUGUAUCGGCUCACAAGUCCAACAACAUAAAGGAUAUCUGGUCUUGUGCAUGUCAAAUAACGUAGGCUUCCAACCAAACUUUUAAAGAAUGUUGGAUCUAUAUCUUCGCCUUCAUCAUGUUUGGAUAACUUGACUCCGCAUUCCACUGGCGUGCUUAUAGGCUUACAAUCAUUCAUCUUGAACUUCUUGAGAAUCUCCUCUGCAUAGCUUUCUUGGGAGAUAAAUAUGCUUUCUUCCUUUUGCUUGACUUCAAUGCCGAGGUAAUAUGCCAUCAGUCCGAUGUCAGUCAUCUCGAACUCUUUGAUCAUCACUCUCUUGAACUCUUCAAACAAGCCUGGAUUACUUCCAGUGAAAAUGAGAUCAUCCACAUACAGGCACACAAUCAAAAUAUCUCCAUAUUUUUCUUUGACGUAGAGAGCAUGUUCAUAUGGGCAUUUGGUGAAGCCUUUCUCUUGAAAAUACUUGUCAAUUCUGCUAUUCCAUGCCCUUGGUGCUUGCUUUAACCCAUAAAGAGCUUUCUUCAAUCUCAAAACUUUGUCCUCGUGUCCUUUCACCACAUAGCCUAAUGGUUGUUCGAUGUAAACUUCUUCUUCAAGGAAUCCAUUCAAGAAAGCAGACUUCACAUCCAUUUGAAAAAUCUUCCAUUUGUUCUGAGCAGCCAAAGAAAUAAUAAGUCUAAUAGUUUUAAGUCGAGCUACAGGAGCAAAUACCUCGUCAUAGUCUAUGCCAGCCUUUUGACUAUAGCCUUUUGCAACUAGCCUCGCCUUGUGCCUUUCAAUUUCUCCCUUCGCAUUUCUUUUUGUUUUAUACACCCAUUUGACACCGAUCGCCUUGUGACCUUUUGGAAGAGUAGUAAGCUCCCAAGUAUCAUUCUUCACAAUGGCUUUGAUUUCUUCAUCCAUUGCAAUUCUCCACUUCUCAUCUAGUGCAGCUUCUUGGAAGUUGACUGGCUCACAAUCAGCAAAGAGGCAAAAGAGAGUGAGAUUAUCAUGUCUCUCAGUUACCUCAUAGAGAUCUUGAAGACUCCUUGCACGUUCUUCGGUUCUUUCAUUUAAGAAAGACGGCGGUGAAUCUCCGCAUGUGGUUGGUGCUGGUGAGAUAGGUGGAGUGGCAGGCUCUUGUUGUUCGUCUACUUGUUUUACCUGUGUAUGAUCAUCUUCUUCAAUGGGAAAGAAGUUGAAGUCAUCCACACCAGAGCCAAAAUCUCAUUCUCCUUCUUCAUCAAAAAUUACAUCUCGACUGAUCACAAUCUUUCCGUUGUUUGGAUUGUAAAGCUUGUAUCCUUUGGAGUUGUUGUCGUAGCCGAUGAAGAUGAACAACUCACUUUUGUCAUCCAGCUUGGCUCUACUUUCGUCUGGUACAUGUACAUGGGCAAUGCUUCCGAAAACUCUUAGAUGGGUGAUGCCAGGUUUUCUUCCACUCCAAGCUUCUUGUGGCGUCUUGCCCCACACGCUUCUUGUUGGAGAUCGAUUGGAUAAGUAGAUUGCACAUGCAACUGCUUCAGCCCAAAAUUCUUUAGGUAGCCUCUUACUCUUAAGCAUGCUUCUUGCCAUGUCGAGGAUGGUUCUGUUCUUCCUUUCUGCAACACCAUUUUGUUGGGGGGAUCUUGGAACUGUCAAAGGGCGUCGAAUUCCAUUUGCUUCACAAAACUCUAAAAAUUCUUUGGAAGUGAACUCUCCACCUCGAUCAGAUCUCAUGGCUUUAAUCUGGUAUCCACUUUCUUUUUCAACUGCAGCUUUAAACUUCUUGAAAGCUUCAAAGACUUCUGAUUUUUGCUUCAAAAAAUACACCCAAGUUUUUCUUGAAAAAUCAUCUAUAAAAAGAAUGAAGUAGUUACUUUUACCAAGGGAGUUUGGCUUGAAUGGACCGCACACAUCAGUAUGAAUGAGCUCGAGUGGCUUCUGAGCUCUUGAGUUUGACUCCUUUGGAAAGCUCUUUCUGAACUGCUUGCCAAGUAAACAUCCUUCACAAAGUUGAUCAGGGUGAUUGAUGUAUGGUAAGCCUUUCACCAUGUUCUUCUUAGAGAGUAGCUCCAGUCCUCUAAAGUUGAGAUGCUCAUAUCGAAGAUGCCAAGUCCAGGAUUGAUCUUUGUGACAGGCUUUGAGACAUUUUGCAACAUCAUUUUGAAUAUUUAAAGGAAACAUUCUAUUCUUUGACAUUCUCACUUUUGUAUUUAGAUUUCCUUUUUCAUCUCUUAGAAAAAGACUAUAAUCUUUUAAGUGAAUAUCAUAGCCCUUUUUCUAAAAGUUGACCUAAACUAAGAAUGUUGCUUUUCAUAUUGGACACAUAGUAAACAUUCGAAAUUAUUUGGUGGCUACCAUCUUUUGCACGAAAAAGAAUGUUACCUCUACCCUUCACUGGUACUUUUGAAUCAUCUCCAAAAGUGACACUGCCAUUCACAAAUUCACUUAGUUGCACGAACAUGCUUCUGUUUCCACUCAUAUGAUUGCUAGCACCUGUGUCAAGAUACCAUGUAUUUUCUUGACCUCCAUUUGUGUCAUUGCGUGCUAGUAAAAGUGUGUCAUCUUCACCAUUUUUCUCUUCAGCAUAGUUCACUCUCUCUUUAAUUCUGGUGCUUGGAGCUCUGCAUUCUGAAGCAUAAUGCCCAAACUUUUGACAAUUAUAGCACUGUACUUGGGAUUUGUCAUACCUCGAUCUUGAAUUGCCUCUGCCUUGUUCUCUGGUUGAGCUUUCUCCUUUGGCAUAAUUGGAGUUGUUGUUGUUGAAAUUCCAACCUCGUCCAUGACCACGACCUCUACCUCGUCCUCGACCUCUACCUCGGACAUAGUGCCUUCUCUCAUUGUCGGAGCUUUCUUCUCUUUUCUUUGGAUUGACUUCCAUCUUGAGAAGUUGUUCUUCGAUUCCUUGCUUCUUUUUUUGUUUUUCUUCAUAGGCUUGCAACCUUCCUUGAAGUUGCUCGAUCGUCAUAUCCUCCAGAUCUCUUGUUUCUUCAAUUGUCAUAACAAUAUGAUCAAACUUCGAGUCUACUGAUCGAAGUAUCUUUUCAAUGAUCCUUACCUCUUUUAACUCCUCGCCAUUUCUUUUUAAUUCAUUGGAAACGGUCACAACUCGAGUAAAGUAGUCAGAAAUUGACUCCGACACCUUCAUGUGUAAGGACUCAAAUUCUCCUCGUAAUGUUUGGAGACGAACCUUCUUAACUUGCUCUGCUCCUUUGUAAGAGGUCUUUAGUUUCUCCCAUGCUUCUUUUGAGGAGGUUGUACCAGCAAUCUUUUCAAAAGCAUCUUCAUCUAAUGAUUGAAAGAUGAGAUACUUUGCUUUAUUCUCUUUCUUCUUCAAGUCUUUUAAAUUCUCCUUCUGCGCCGCAGUUAAAGUGGCUUCAUUUUCUGGCACAAUAAAGCCUUUCUCCACGACAUCCCAUACGUCAUGUGCACUCAAUAGAGCCUUCAUUUUAAUACUCCAAUUGUCAAACUUACUUCCUUUUAAUUGUGGAACUUGAAAUGACAUCAUCAUACCACCGUUUGCCAUAACUCACAAAUUGAGUGAGAAUUUGGAGAUUCUGAAUGCACAGAUGGAUCCGGCACGUCGAAAAACCUUGGGAAGGACUCGAGUCAACUUUCGGUCAACGGUCAACGUCGGUCAACGGUCAACACCGGCUUGGUAGUCUCGGUUCGGUCCGGAUUGGUUCAGCUCGAGUUGGCUCGGUUCGACUUGAUUCGGUUCAGCUCGGCUCGGCUUGGUUCAGUUCGGCUCAGCUUGGUUCAACUCGGUGAGUCGACUCAGCUUCAGGACAUAAAACUUCCGGCGGCAGGUGUGGGCGCGUACGGUCUCGGAUCGGGAUGAUUUUUGCGGCGUCACGUUCCUCUCGUCGAGAUCUUCGAUUUGAUAUGCUAUAUGACUAUAUAUAGCAUCAAACACUAGCUCUGAUACCACUUUGUUGGAGGAUUAACAAUUAAAACACACAAAAAACACACUAUUUUAUUUCUUCAACAACACUCCUCACCAAUUACAACUCUUAUUUUUCACUCUCUACACCUUAGAGAUUUUGCUGCUUCACUUGAUGUUUAAACCAAAGGGGAGAGGGGGUAUUUAUACAUGAAACAAACUAAUCACAACCAUUAAUUUAUUCAACUAAUAAACACAUCCUCACCAUCCAUUAAAACCUACUACUCACCUACUUCACCAACCACACCUAACACACCUAACACAAAUAAUUCAAACCUCACCAACCAUACCUACUCAUGGAACCUUCCAUGAGUUGGGCUUGAUUUAUUCAUCUUGGAUCAAGUUUAUGAUCCAACACCAUUAUCCUAUUACUCUUAUUUUAUCACAUGCAGAGACGUCAACGUUUGAUUCGCACGGAAAAAAAUUUGCGAGGAUUGUGAGGGUUGAUUCAAUAUAAUUUAGAUGCAAAGUGUUUACAAGUGCGAUGCUUCGUAAGUGCACCCGAAUCAUUAUAAACUCACCUUAUUUUCAUAGUGAUUAUUUCAUCUGCAUGUGAAUAUAAUCAUAUGUGGAGAUUUUUUUUUUCCCUAAACGAUGAUCUUCUCUAGUAUUGAGGUGUUAUAUCUUUUAAAUUAUAAUUAUUAUUAGUAAAAAACUGCAACUAUGAAAAAUAAAUUUAAUAUUAUGUCCUGAAUAUAAUUGUUAAAUAAUAAUUUUGACAAAAUUAAUGAAUAUAUACAGAUUUUUUUAUCAUAUAAAUGUAAAAUUAUAUCAACUUAGCUUCUAAGCUAUACAACGGUUACUAUUUACUAAAUACUUUAGUGUCGUAGUUUUUAAGAUAUAUUUAUCCACCCUCAAUCCCAAACAUAACCUGUAAGGAUAAAAAAUUUCAUCCUAAAAAUUAUACGUCUUGUGACUUAUUUAAUUUAUAUUUUUGUUAUUUAUAUUUAUUAAUUAUAGUCAUCUUUUAAUAAAUUACAAUUGAAGGAAGGUGGUUGAUGUUGUCGAGACACACACACAAAGAUAUAUUGGAAGUGCUUAUGUCCACUCGAAGUUGUGGGGAGUUAAUGCAUGUAUUGAUUUAUUGGGAGUGUUAAUGCAUGUAUUGAUUGAUUGAGUGAUUGAAUACUGUUUGAUUGCUUCAUAUCAAUUCUAGAAAGUUUAUUUCUUUGUGAAAUUUCAACGAAACGUGUUUUUUAGAAUAAUAAGGGUGUUUUAAGUAAUUUUAAAAAAUGAAUGGACUAAUUAGAAUUAAUUAUUAGGUAAUUAACUCGAAUUGUAGAGGGUAAGCAAACAUUUAUCCUAAUUAUAUUAUGAUAAAUCCUUUUCCAAUUAGAAUUAGGAAACCAUAGAUAUACUGAAUUUUUUUUUAUUUCCCUUCGCGAAAACGGAUCAGAGAAUUAGAAAACAAUCCUAGUGAUACUAUUGUUAGGUUUAAAACACUGCAUAGAUGGUAAAAACAUUGGAAUUGAUGUAGAUUAAUUUGUUAAUUGCUAUCGUACUGAACAUUGUUUUAUGCAAAUUAAUUUGAGAAUUAGAAAAAAGUUUGUUGCAUGCAAACUUUUUGUUUUAUGCAAAUCGUACUGAACAUUGGGACUGAUGUUUAAGAAAAAAAUUCUGUAGUUAAAGAAAAACAAAAAGGCAUGUUGAAUAGAUUACGAUAGUUUAUUCAAUUGGGAAUUUUUUUUCUUUAAUUUUUGUUGUACUUGAUUGAGAUUUCUCUUUAGUCCUUUCGUACUUCCUUUGUAAGCUGAGUAUAAGGAUGAAAUUCUUUUAAGAAAUUAAAAAAGAAAAAAAAGCAUGCCACUACGCAAUUAUAAAUAACCACAAAUAAAUAUAAACAAAAUGUUUAUGAAGUAAAUUAAACAUGCACAUAUUAUUUUCUUUUAUUUGCUGCUUGGAAACCCAUAAAUGCACUAAUCCAAUAUUACAAUUAAUUUCAAACAGAAAAAAUUGAACUCUAGGCUGCAGUUUGACUCAAAAUGAUGACCACUGGCUUCGCACCAUUCAACCGGUAUACAUUUCUACAAACCGAACAACGCUAUUGAUUUUUAUUUUUUUUUUUAAUUUGUCUAUAAAUUACUAUUUUAAUUUUCACUUUUUAUUGGGUUGUUUAACGGAUUAGUGAAGCUGGUGGUCGUUGAUGCACUCAUAAGGUACAAUUUUAUUUUAGAAUUUCAAAUUCGUAUUUUAAAAUGCAGGCACAUUAUGUAUACAUAAUUAUUGAUUUUCAUAUGUGGGUGUUUUGAAAUAUUGCCAAAAGACCAAACUUUAAUAAACUAUUUUUGAUUUUUUUUUUCCUUUUUACCUAAAGUUGGAGUGAUAUCCGCAUUUUAAAUUCAUGUGGAACAAAGCUAAUGUAAGCACAAAAUUCUUUUAUUUUUUCCGAGAAAAAUGGGUAAGAGAAGAAGAUUUUUCUCUUGAAAAAUGAAAAAAAAUACAAUGCAAGCAUAGGAAAGAGGUCAGUGUUUUGGAUUUGAAUUUAGUAUUGAGCUGAAUUUUAUGCUAAGCUCUUUUAUAGUACUGCGAUUAAUAAGCUAGCUCAGGAUUUGCUUUUGCUUUUACUUCAAGUAAAAGAAAGAGGAAGCCUUUUGUUUUUUUGUUUGAUUUUUGACUAUAUAUGUUACCUAUAUAGAGAGUUGAGGUAGCAGCCUUAAGUGAUGGUGAUAAAAAGAUUAAGCAGUGCACACAAUCUUACUGUCAUCCAGACCAUCCAGUGAUGGCUCUAGUUUUUUUGUUACGUUAGCUUUAGUGGAAAGAAGGGCCAAUUUAACAAAGACUAGAUUUGGUGGCUUACUAUGUUUAAUGUAAUGCUUAUUCUCAGCGCACACAAUCUUACUAUGUUUAAUGUAAUGGUUAUGUUGAAUGAUCUUCUAUGAUUGUGAGUAGUAUAGUAUAAUUGAAAAGGGCCUGGGCUCCUAUGAUGAAUAACAGUAACACAUUACUGUGAUUGAGAAAACUCAGUUCCAAUAAACUCUUCAUUUACUCAUUGCGGAGAUCGAAUGGCAAACAGAGAAUAGAAUGAAGCAGAAGAAUCUCAUUGUUAGGUUUUGAUGAUUUCAGAUGCUUUUUUUUUAAAAAAAAAUUGUGACAUCUUUGAUUUACGGCAGUUUUGCAGAAAAAAAAAACAUAUAAAAAUUAAGAGGGAUGAGUUAACUGACGAUUACAAUCAUUACAGCAAUGCUGAUGAGUGAUAUAUCACUUGAAAUUUACUUGUCAGUUGCUGAAAUGAUGAAAAAAAACCAACAAACGAUAACAGUAAUAAUGUUCCCUUGCUGAAAUUCAAUUUUGACUUUCGACUCUUGGCUUUUAUGGAGAGUAAAAUGACUUGUAUAUUAUACUCAUACAAUCCACUCUACAUAAUGAUAUCGUUUUAAUAAGGCAAUGGCUGAUGAUCUCCAUUUAAAAACUACAUCAAUUUUUUUGCUUCAUUUAACUUUUUGGUUGUUGAAAAUAACCUUAAUUAUCAAAUAAUUGGAGAAAGAGUUAAGAACAUUUAACAAAUUUAUGUGCAAAAAAAAAAAAAAAAGGAAGAAGUUGAAGAGAAAGGGUGCUUGCAGAAGUGGGUGUCAAAGAUAAAUCGGUCCAUAAGAAUUAUUGUGGUUAUUUUUUGGCAAUAUAAAAAUUUUUUAGCAAGUAAAAAUAAUUUUUUUUCCGAUUUACUAAAAAAUUAACUAAAAACUUCUGCGAUGUCAUUUUUUAUGGGUGCAUAUACCCUCCCUUUAAAAAAUUUAUAAUAAUUACUGCUUAAUAUAGUAUUAAAUACGAAAAAUAUCAAUAUUUGACUACUCAAAUUUAUAUCAUUAGGUCCUUAAAAUUUAAAAUGGAAGAUAUGAAAGGAAAUAUAUAUAAAUUUCAUUGUCCUGGGAAAGGACCCUCUUAUUAUCUUAUAAUAUUUGAAAUUUGAUAGAUUUUUUGAAACAAAUGUACUUUUAUUUGUGUACAAUCAAUAUUUACUCAUUUAUUAUAUUUUAAUUUAUUAACUAUCAAUCAUGUAAGUAUACUUAGUCAAAAAAAUUAUAUCAAGAGAGAAUUCUAAUUUCACGCAAAAACAAAUACCAAAACAAAUAUCUCAAUUUCUAUACUAUUCACUUUCCUGUAGAAUCAAUUAUUUAAAAUGCAAGUUUGUGGCUACAGAAAACUCGCCAAAGAAAGAAGAUAAUAACAAUUGAGCAUUGAUGGCAAAACUAAUGCAUCCAAUUCUUCUUGACUUGAUGAGAUGGCGCCAUAACGUAGAAACAAGUACCUAAAUUGACCGGCACUGAGUGGUGUGAAUACUACCAGCCAGUUCAUCUCUUCCAGUCUUGCUUAAUCACAAUCACAAACACCACGAGAUCGACAUUUGCAUUAUAUAUAUCUUCUGCAAUCGAAACACCUUGCAUUACCAAAUAAGCCCGUAACAGACAAAGCAAUCUUUCAUGGAGAGAAACCUUAGUCUCAGUAUGAUCACUGUGUCAUUAACGUACUGCCUGCUUCUUUGCUUGGUUGCUGCAGCAGCAGCAGCGGCAAGCAACAAUAUUACCACAGACCAACAAGCUCUUCUUGCCCUGAAAGAUCAUAUAAUUUAUGAUCCGACCAGCCUUUUAGCUCACAAUUGGACCUCGAAUACCUCUGUUUGUACCUGGAUUGGCAUCACUUGUGAUGCCAAUAGCCAUAGAGUCACAACCUUAGAUAUUUCUCAAUUCAAUCUACAAGGCACCAUCCCUCCUCAACUUGGGAACCUCUCUUCACUCACAACACUUAAUCUUAGUCAUAACAAGCUUUCUGGAAACGUUCCCUCCUCCAUCUACACCAUGCAUACGCUAGAAUUUCUUGACUUCACUGAUAACCAGCUCUCUGGUUCAGUGACUUCCUUCGUCUUGAACAUGUCUUCAAUAUUAGACAUUCGUUUGACCAAUAACAGACUUUCUGGUGAGCUUCCGAAAAAUAUUUAGAGCUAUCUUCCUCAUUUGAAAGCCCUUUUUUUGGACAAAAACAUGUUUCAUAGCAAACUUCCUUCUGCUUUAUCAAAGUGCAAACAACUGCAACAAUUAAAUUUGAAGUUCAAUAAUUUAUCCGGUGCAAUACCAAAAGAAAUCGGCAACUUGACUAUGCUCAAAGGGAUAGACCUCGGCUACAACAAACUCCACGGUAUGUUCAUAAUACUAUACAAAUAUUAUCUUUCUUGAAUACUUUAGAUAAGAUCUUGUAUGUGAGAUUUUUUUGCAUCUAUAUUAAUUUUCCAGGUGAGAUACCGCACGAAAUCGCUAAUCUUCCAAAUCUAGAGGCUUUAGCGCUUGGAAUGAACAACCUAGUUGGUGUGUUACCAGCUCCAAUCUUCAACAUGUCAACACUGAAUGUACUUAUCCUCAUAAAUAACUCUCUCUCCGGUAGUCUUCCAUCAAGAAUGGACCUUUCACUUCCAACUAUUGAGCAUCUUAACUUUGCACUUAAUAGAUUUUCUGGAACAAUUCCUAGUUCCAUAACCAAUGCUUCUAAGCUCACAUUUCUAGAGUUGGGAGGAAACACAUUUUCGGGCUUUAUUCCAAACACAAUUGGUAAUUUAAGAAACCUUGAGUUGUUCGGCUUGGUUUUUAACUACUUGACAUCUUCGAGCUCAAAAUUGAGCUUUCUUUCCUCUUUGGCAAAUUGCAAGAAAUUAAGAGUCAUAGGCUUAACAGGCAAUCCACUCAACGGCAUCCUUCCAAGUUCAGUAGGUAAUCUUUCUAUGUCUUUGAAAACACUUCACAUCGCCAAUUGCAGUAUUAGUGGCAACAUUCCUCCAGCAAUUAGCAAUUUAAGCAACUUGUUGGCCUUAGUAUUAGAAGGCAAUAAAUUGACUGGACCAAUCCCAACUACAUUCGGCCAACUACAGAAACUCCAAGGCUUAGAUCUCGCAUUCAAUAAGUUGGUAGGUUCAUUCCCAGAUGAGCUUUGCCAUCUAGCUAGGCUGGAUGAAUUGGUCUUAUUUGGCAAUAAGCUUUCAGGAUCUAUACCUUCAUGCUUAAGUAACCUCACUUCUCUGAGAUCUCUCCACUUAGGGUCCAAUAGGUUUACUUAUGUCAUUCCCUCAACUUUCUGGAGCCUAAAAGACAUCUUGUUCUUUGACUUUUCAUCAAAUUUCUUGGUUGGUCCUCUUUCUUUAGACAUAGGAAAUUUGAAGGUGCUUCUAGGAAUAAAUUUAUCAGAAAAUAACUUAUCGGGUGAUAUGCCAGCCACAAUUGGAGGACUAAAAAACCUUCAAAUUAUGGACCUAACAUAUAAUAGACUGGAAGGGCAAAUUCCUGAAUCAUUUGGUGACUUGACAAGUUUGGAGGUUUUGAAUUUGUCAAAUAAUAAAAUCUCUGGGUCUAUUCCAAAAUCCAUGGAGAAACUCUUUUACCUUCGAGAGUUAAAUCUCUCUUUCAAUGAACUAGAAGGUGAGAUUCCUAGUGGAGAAAUUUUUACCAACUUCACAGUUGAGUCAUUUAUGGGAAAUGAGUUAUUGUGUGGUUUACCAAAUCUUCAAGUCCAACCAUGCAAACUUAGCAAGCCAAGGACAGAACAUAAAUCAAGGAAAAAGAUACUUCUCAUUGUGAUUGUUUUGCCAUUGAGUAUUGCUCUAACAAUAGCAAUCACUCUACCUCUCAAAUCUAAGCUGACCAAAUGUGGAAAAAGAUGCACAGUGUUGUCAAAUGAUAGUGUCUUGUCAUCACAAGCAACACUAAGAAGAUUUUCAUACUUAGAACUUUUACAAGCAACAGAUAAUUUUGCUGAAAACAACGUAAUUGGCAUAGGUGGUUUUGGUUCUGUUUAUAGAGCAAGACUUGAAGAUGGGAUGAAGAUUGCAAUAAAAGUGUUUCACCAGCAAUGUGCAAGCGCAUUGAAGAGUUUUGAGGCUGAAUGUGAAGUGUUAAAAAAUAUUCGCCAUCGAAAUCUUAUCAAAGUUAUCAGCAGUUAUUCAAACAAUGACUUCAAAGCAUUAGUCCUAGAAUACAUGUCCAACAGGAGCUUGGGGGAUUGGUUGCAUUCCAGCAAUUAUAUGCUGAAUAUAUUUCAAAGGUUGAACAUAAUGAUUGACGUUGCAUCAGCUUUGGAAUAUCUCCACUUCGAUCAUUUACCUCCUAUUAUUCAUUGUGACUUAAAGCCUAGUAAUGUAUUGUUGGAUGAAAAUAUGGUUGCUCAUUUGAGUGAUUUUGGCAUAGCAAAGCUUUUAAUUGGGGAGGAUGUGUAUGUCAUGCGAACAAAAACCCUUGCCACUAUAGGUUACAUCGCACCAGGUUUGCUUCAAACAACUUUUUUUUAGUUCAUUUUAAAUUUUCUAAAUCAUUGAUUUUUACGAUCCUCAUAUCAAAUUGUUAUUGAUUAUUUAUCUAAUUGUGAAAUUAAUUUGAUUCAUAGAGUAUGGCAUAGAAGGAGAAAUAUCUACAAAAAGUGAUGUUUACAGCUAUGGGAUUAUGUCGAUGGAAACUUUUACCAAGAAAAAACCCACAGAUGAAAUUUUUGUUGGAGAAUUGAGCUUAAAGCGUUGGGUUGAUGACUUGCUUCCUGAUUCAUUAGUGGAAGUUGUGGACAAAACUCUAGUAAGUGGAGAGGAAAAACAUUUUGCCGCAAAGGAGCAAUGUCUGUUGUCUAUCUUUAGUUUGGCUCUGGAGUGUACAAUGGAAUCACUGAAAAAGAGGAUCAAUGCAAAAGAUAUUGUUACCAGAUUACUCAAGAUAAGAGACACAUUGAGUAAAAGGAUAGGAAAUUUAAGUUAAUAUCGUUUGCUUUCAUUGAUAGUUAUUUUGAAUUCAUGUAAUAAGUGUACGAACCUUAUAUCUUUUCCUUUGAUAUUUUUUUCCUUGAGAAAACUAUUGUAGUCAUCUUAUUUCCAUGGGCAGAGUUGAUUUAGUUCUUCCAAGAAAUGCUACUGAUGACCUUUGUUUUAUACUUUCUCUUUUUUUGCAUGUGUUUAGGUAGAACAGUGGUUUGGCUGCAGGCUAAGAAGACUAACUACACUAAAAGAAUAUGAUUUAAUUUAUUAAACAAAACUUCAAGAAAAGUAUUUCACUGCCCCCAAUGCUUUGGACACCUACUGGUGGGUUUGUACGUGUCCUCAACUUUUUUUUGGAGCACAAAAUUCGAGUCCCAUGGAGACUCAAACAUUCCUUUCCCACAUCUCGAGCACGCUAAAUUUAUCAGACUGACAACUGGGACAUAUACAAGAGUGAAAUGUUUAGAGCACUCUAAGUUCGAGUGAAAGAGAUUAAUUUACAGAAAAUAAAGCCAAGGGUUCAGAAAAAAGUGCAAAGAGAAUAAAGGAACGUCUGAGCUAUUUAAAGCUUCAUGGAAAGUUGAAGGCUCUCCAUAUUUUGUUAGAAGAUAGUAUGCAACAUUGAUCUCUGUGACAUACUCCGAGUGCCACGUUGGCGGUCGUCUCUCACGAGUUGACCGACGAAUUUCUUGAGCCUCGGACUCGACUAGUUCUUGUUCCUCGUGCUCUGGUGCUGCUUCAGAAGAAUUUGAAUCUUUUGAAUUAUUUUUCACAUAUACCGGUACAGUCUCUGACUUUUCUUUUACAGUGCUAUCAUCCUCAUCUUUCCUUUGCAAUUGAUCUUCUAUAAAAAUAACAUCUCUGCUGAUGACGAUCUUGUGGGCAGUGGGAUCCCACAGACGAUACCCUUUUACUCCAUCAGCAUAUCCCAAGAAGAUACAUCUUCUAGAUUUUGCAUCCAGUUUUGUUUUUUCUUGAGCAUUGUACAUCACGUACACAGGACAUCCAAAUGUAUGUAGGUAGGAAUAAUCAGCUGGCUUUCCAGUCUAUAUCUCCAUCGCUGUCUUCAGCCCAAUUACUGUAGAUGGUGAUCGAUUUACUAUAUAACAGGCAGUUUUGGCUGCUUCUACCCAAAAUGAAUUGGGUAGACCAGCAGUCCUCAACAUAGCUCUUAUCCGUUCUGUAAUAGUUCUAUUCAUCCGCUCUGCCACUCUAUUUUGUUGAGGAGUGUAUGCCACCGUGAACUGUCUCUGAAUACCUUCUUGCUUACAGAAAACAAGAAACUCGCCGUCUAUAUACUCUCCACCAUUAUCUGUCCUCAAGCACUUGAUCUUUUUACCAGAUUCAAGUUCUACCGUGCUUUUAAACACUGGAAAUACAUCUGACUUUUUCUUAAUUGGAUACACCCAACAUCUUCUGGAAUAAUCAUUAAUGAAAGUCACCAUGUACUUUGCACCUCCCAUGGAUAUAUCCGGUGAUUCCCAAAUAUCAAAAUGAAUCAAGUCUAUAAUGCAUUUACUUCUAGCAAUAGAUCUACUGAAUUUUAAUUUAUGCUGCUUACUUGUAACACAAUGCUCGCAAAAUGGUAAACUUACCGAUUUGAGCCCCGGAAGCAAUUUUCGCUCAAAGAGAAUCUUCAAUCCUUGUUCUGACAUGUGGCCAAGUUUGAGAUGCCACAUCAUCGUUGACUCUUCUCCAUUUGACGCGACACAUGCAUCAGCCUCUUGUAGUGUUUCUCCUUUAAGCAUGAAUAAAUUAGCACCGAUCUUUUCUGCCUUCAUCAAUACAAACGCACCUUUAACGAUCUUCAUAAUUCCAUUCUCCACAUGAGUUUUGUACCCAUGACUAUCCAUUUGUCCCAAAGGUAAAAGAUUUUUCUUCAGGCCGUUGACAUGUCGUACCUCCCUAAUUGUGCGAAUUGUACCAUCAAACAUUUUUAUUUUGAUAGUACCAAUACCAACGAUCUCCAAGGCAUGAUCAUUACCCAUAUAUACAGAUCCUCCUGAGAUAGGUUCAUAUGUGUGGAACCAUUCUCUCCGAGAGGUCAUGUGUCAGGUAGCUCCUGAGUCUAUAAGUCAGACAUCAGAUAGUCGUUUUCUGCCUUCUAAAACAGUUGUUGCCUCGCUGUAGAGAAUUUCGCCAUCAUCCGAGGUACUUACGACACAACCCUGAGCAUUUGAUGACUUAGGUUCUUUGCCCACUCUUGUCUUCUAAUUACUCCAACACUCUUUCUUGACGUGCCCUUUCUUGCCACAGUUGUAGCAUUUAACAUUCUUCUUACUUCUAGAUUUUGAUCUACCAUGAUUUUGACUCCCAUUGGGGCCACGUUCCGUUGAUCUCCCUCUCGUCACCGAUAGCGCCUCCGCUUGCUGCGAACUUGCUUGUCUGUUUUUCUUAUUUUUUCGUCUGCUUUCCUCAUUUAAUACAGAGGCUGCAACAUCGUCGAAAACUAGACUGUCCACUGGAUUGCUGUUCGUUAGGUUGAUGAUGAGUUGAUCAUACGAAUCUGGUAGACUUUGAAGUAGAAGCUCUGCACGUUCAUUCUCCUCUAUAUUAUGACCCAACGUUGUAAGUUGUGAAAAUAGAGUCUUCAAGGUGUUGAUGUGAUCGGUUACCAUUAUAGAUUCCGCCAUUUGAAGAGUAUAAAGUUUCCUCUUCAAGAAGAUUUUGUUGUGUAGUGACUUGGCCUCGUACAAUUUUGUGAGAGUAUCCUAAAUUUCCUUCGCUGUAUUUUUCUUUGCCACACUGGAUAAUACUCCGUCUGCAAGUGCCAAGUGUAGAUCAGAAAUGGCAUUGCCAUCUAUCUCGUUCCACUUGUCAUCAGUUAUCUCCAUGGGCCUUUCUCCAAUUGCUUCCAAGUAAUUAUUUUUCCUCAAUACAACUUUCAUCUUAAUUUUCCACAACGAAAAAUUAUUUUCGUUAAAUUUCUCAAUUUCAUACUUUGCUGUCAUUUUGUUGAUAAAUAUUGUACACAAACUAGUGUAUCACCUUGAAUAGUUGUGAGUAUGUGUAAGAAUGCACACCAGAAAAGUUCCUAGGAAAGACUGGAGGGGUCACAAUAGUCCCACUUAAAACUCAGACUCCUUAAGCUCUUAUCGCCUUUGUGACAGAACUUUCCUAGACAUGUAUAAAACCACACAAUUGCUUUACUCACACCACUAUUCCCUGCUUUGUACCGCCAAAUUCUUCGAUCGCUCCCACCGUUUCACGUGAAUAGUACUGUAUACGUGAACAGUACCGUGUACGUGAAUAGUAUCCCUUACGUGAACAGUACCCAACUCUAAAAAAUACAAUAAAUAGCUCUGAUACCACUGUUAGGAAAUUGGUGGGUGAAGCAGGACCGCAGCUAAUAUGAAAUUGGAAGAAAAUAAAGAACAAGGACAAAAAGAGGAUACCAGAAAUUACGUGGUUCGGCUUUUAACCUACGUCCACGGGCGAAAACAGAAGGAAAUAUUUUACUCGUAAAAAGGAGUUACAAGUAUUGUAGUAUUUUAGCUCACUUUCCAAAAUCCCAAUACACCCAAACUCUCAAAACACUAAAACAAGAGCUUAUAAUUUCAAGCUCUCUAAACUCUCUCUAAAUACAAGAAAACUCUUCUCAAAAUUGGAUAAGCAAAUGAGGGAAUGAGCCCCUCUAUUUAUAGCCAAAAUCUUGGCUACUAUUCACUUUUUUUUAAAAAUUAUUUAUUAUUGUUCAAAAUUUCAACAUUCAAAGUUUGAUAUUCAAACUUUGAAUAUCUAGAAUUUUGAAUUUGAUAUUCAAAGUUUGAAUAUCUAGAAGUUUGAAUUUGAUAUUCAAAGUUUGAAUAUCAAGACACCCAAUCUUGACACUAAAUUCACCAGACUGACAACUGGGGCAUAUAGAAGAGCGAAAUAACUGGGACAUAUACAAGAGUGAAAUGUUUAGAGCACGCUAAGUUCGAGUGAAAGAGAUUAAUUUACGGAAACUGAAGCCAAGAGAAUAAAGGACAACACUUACGUGAAGCGACAUAAUUGUAUUGAAAGCACAAUGUCAAAUUCAUACGGAGAUCUAGUAUAUUAUUUACAGCUGGUGAGGGCUAAGAAUUGAUGUAGCUAGAAUACAAAGACGAUAAGGUAUGUUGUGCACUAUUGUUUUAUUCUACGAUCAAUCUUGACCCUUGAUGCUUGGCUCUCAAUCUUGUCCAUUGAUCUUCUUUGAUUUUGGACACUUCAAGACCUUUCAGUAUCAUUCCUUGUUGUUGGUGUCUUCCGUGCUGUAGAAUUCAUAUACAAGCCUUCCCGCCGACUUGCCAAGUAUUCGUUCAUUGAUGCAUUUUUAUCAAACAGCUGGGCUACUUAUGCCAAACACCGCCUGGUUUAACUCCCCCUCUCUAGCUCAACUAUCUGGGAAGACAAUUAAUUGAGAUAUGAAUCAGAAAAUUAAAUUUUAAAAAUUGUAUUCGGACUCUACAUUUUGUAAUGAACAUUGGUUUGACUUGUUAUACAUUUAUGCGUACAUAAUUAAUAACCGAUUCUCAAGUGCGGACAUUCAAGAGCACUGCUUAAAGACCAAAUAUUUUGAUUUACUAUUUUUUGUCUUUCAAUUUUCUUUUAAGUUCUGAUGACGUCCGCAUUUUAAAAUCCUGUGGAACAAAGGCCUGACGUGCAUAUAAAAUUCUUUUAUUUUUUCAGAGGAAAAUGGGUUAGAGAAGAAGAUUUGGCAAAAGAAUUGCAACGGCAUUUGAAACUAGUCUUCGUCUUUUAAUUCUUUUAUAUUUGUUUUUGUUAUUGAUGUUAGCUUGGAUGUGAACCCGUGUGACUGAAUUCAACUUAUAUUUGUUUUUGUUAUUGUUAUUAAUUUUAUUUGUUUUUGUUAAAUUGGACCACCAACAAGGGCGGUCCAUUAUCAAAUCAACACGGUUUAAUUAUUAUUAUUUCUACACUUUUUUUAUGAACAAAUAUAAAAUAAAAGGACAUUUACACCCUCAAUUUUAGUGAAAUAGUCAUUAACACCCCUAAAUUUUUAAAAGUAGACAUCAAGAUCAUUUUUUUACCUUAAUACUCUUAUACGGUACCUCUAUUAUUCCCAAAAAUUGAUUCUAAUGUUUUAUAAUAAAUAAAAAUAAAACAUUAAAAUAAAUGUAAUAACAUAUAUAUUUUAAAAUAAUUUCAAUAUUUAAAAAAUAUUUUUAACAUUUUACAAUCUAUUAACUAUAUUUUAUUAUAUUGAAGUAAAUUUUAUAAUAAAUAGAAUCAUAUUAUUAAAAUAAAUGUAUUAAAAUUUAAAUGAUUUUGAAUAUCAUGUACAAUAAUAAUUUUAACAUUACUAAUAUGUCAGAUUUUUUUUUAAGAAUGUAUUUAGUGCAAAUAUUUCUUUCAAAUCUCCACAAUAAAUAAAAGAUUAAAAUAAAUAUAAUAAUUUACAUAUCUAAAUUUAUUAAAAUAUUUUAAUAUUGUUAGUCUACUGCAUAGAUCACAAUAUUUAUAUAAUAUUUGUAUUUAUUAAAAACUUUAAAAUCAAUUCUUUUGAGAAUAAUAGAGGUAAAGGGUAUAAUGGUCAAAAUGGGGACUUUGUACUCCUUUUUGAAAACUUGAAGGUGUUGGUGGCUAUUUUUCCAAACCUUCAGGGUGUAGAUGUCAUUUUUCCACAAAUAUAUGAGAAAAUUAUCAAGAAAUACAGUAUCUGAACUCUGAAGUAACAAGGAUCACCUUUUAUGAAAUCGAUUGCUUUUCAUGAUAGACUGUUACUAUUUUUCUACAAUAGAUUGAAUUUAGUAAAAAAUUGAUUAAGAUGUCUACUCAUGGAGAGUGAAAUUUAUGUUCAAUACUAAUUUCAACAUGCAUGCACCACCGAACGUGUUUCUCACGGAAAAGUUGCUUGGAUUUUUGGGACUUCCUGUUCAAAUAUUCAACACGGCAUGCACCACGCGAUUGAACAUGCAAAAGUAGGGGUCUAUUAUCAUUUCCAGCAUUAUAGAAAUCUUAAUUUUGUUCAUUAUUUAUUUUGAUCAGCACUGUUGAAUCUCCAUGUAUUGCCAAUCACUGGGAAACAACAUAUUCUUAUUAAUUAUAUCCUCUAAUGGAGAGAACUCAUUGUCUCAGUGUAAGAUCACUGUGUCAUUAACCCACAGCCUGCUGAUUUGCUUGGUUGCUGCAGCAAGCAAAAAUAUUACCACAGAUCAAAAAGCUCUUCUUGCCCCAAAAGAUCACAUAACUUAUGCUCCAACCAAUCUUUUGACCGAAAAUUGGACCUCAAAUACCUCUGUUUGUACGGGGAUUAGCAUCACUUGUGAUGUCAAUAGCCGCAGCCUUGGAUAUUUCUCAAUUCAAUCUACAAGGCACCAUUAUUCCAAACACAACUGGUAAUUUAAGAAACCUUAAGUGGCUCGGCUUGGCUUAUAAACUACUUGACAUCUUCAACUUCAAAAUUGAGCUUUCUUUCCUCUUUGGCAAAUUGCAAAAAAUUAAGAAUCUUAGGCUUACUGGAAAUCCACUUGACCGUAUCCUCUCACGUUCAAUAGGUAAUCUUUCUAUGUCUUAGGAAAGAUUUCACGUCGCCAAUUGCAGCAUUAGUGGCAGAAUUCCUCAAGUAAUCAGCAAUUUAAGCAACUUGUUGGCAGUUGUGCAAAAUUUUAAUAUACUCGCAAGUGCACGAAUCUAGAAAUAGAAUAAUGGUAAUGAGGUCAAACCCAUAGGGAUUGUUUUAAAAUGACAAAAGAAUAGCUGCUGGUCUAGAGGUGGCUUACUACAUUCAUACAAGAUCGUUUCUUGUUCUCUAAGAUGUGCAUUAUACUAAUAAUGCUAUACAAACUUAUCCAAAGGUCUAUUAAUUAAUUCAUUAAUCCAACGGCUUGUUAGGUUGUCCUUUCAUCCAUACAGCUGCAUGCUUGUCUUCAUAUACACUGAUCUUAUCCUCUAGAUCUGUUCAGGCUGAGUGAUCUCUCACAUUUGCCAUAUCAGAAGAUUACAUGCCAGUAAUGUCAUGUGAUGACCUGUUGCUUGGUGAUGUCGAAUGCCUGGCCUUUACUUCUCUGAGCAAAUUGAUCAAACAAUUUGUUCAUUUUAUCGAACACCUUCACCAACUAACAUUUUAUUUACUUUGGAUGGUUUUUAAGUGCAUUUAAUGAUUAUUUUUGCUCCAACUUCAGAUAAACCAAACGCCAGUAUAUUAGAAGAAGAAGUUAACUGGCAGCUAACCAGGUCAAAAUAGCGACUCUAUAUAAAAAAAAUAUAUAAAAUAAAAAAAUGGGACUUUAUUUAAUUAAUUGUUGGUCUAAAGCUGUUGGUAUCCGUUGGCCACGUUUCUGAAGAGUCAUCUCAAAUCGAAAUUUUUAACGAACAAAGGACAUUGCUGCUGGCUGCCGCCCGUGAGAUAAAAGUGCUAAAAUCCAAAAUGUUCCACCAUCAUUUAUUCUAAUUUUAAUUUUCCAAUGGAAAAAAUUACAUAAUUAAAAUGGCUUCUAAUAUCAUUUCCACACCUCAAUAUGUGUCACUAUCAUAAAGUUGUUCUCAUGAUUCAUGGAAAAUUUGGAUUACAGCACCUGUACUUUCUGAUGGUUCAUUAUUUAUUCUCAGGAAUCGAGUCUCCUUACAUUACCAAACUAAUAACAAACAGGAAUCUUUUAUCCUUUCACGGUGAGAAAUUACAGUCUUCGUAUGAUCGCAGUGCCAUUAACCCACUGCCUGCUUCUUUACUUGGUUGUUGCAGUAGCAGCAGCAAGCUACAUUACCACAGACCAACAAGCUCUUCUUGCCCUGAAAGCUCAUAUAAGUUAUGAUCCAACUAAUCUUUUGGCUCAAAAUUGGACCUCAAAUACCUCUGUUUGUAACUGGAUAGGCAUUACUUGUAAUGUCAAUAGCCAUAGAGUUACAGCAUUUGGAUGAAUUUUUAUUGAAACCUUUCUGAGAAGUAGGACAUGUCAGACAUCAAAGCACUGAGAUAUCUUCAAAUAGUGGUAACCCCACUCAUCAAGGCACAAUAAAUUAUACAGAUAAAAUCCUCCACUCUUUCGUAAUCAUCGGUGUAGGCACGGUGAUGCGUCGGACAGAUAUGGGUCGGAUCCACUCCAGCUCCAUAUCAAGAUUCAUAAACCAUGACAAAAAUAGAGAAUCAUAGGUGUUGCAGAUAGUGAUGGUUGUUGAUGCACUCGUAAUUUAAAAUUUUAUUUUAUAUCUUCAAGUUCGCAUUUUAAGUGUACAUUUUUUUUUUAUUUUGUGAUCAAUAUAACUUGUCAAAUCUAUUUUUAAAUAAUUUUUUAAAACAUUUUAUUAACAAUGAUAUGAAAAUAUUCGACCCCUUUUCAUAGUAAAGUGAAUUAUUAUCCGACAAUCCAACUCAUGUUUUCAAAUUGUAAAUUGCAAAUCGUGUGUUUGCUCCUGUUAGAGUGCAAUUUAUGCACUAGUUUUGCAUUGUUUACUUCCCUUAAUAUCGAUGUUUUGCACUUAAUAAUAAUGAUUUACUUGUGUUUUACUUUUGUAGGUGCAAUUCUAUUGAUUUGUGAUAAAAUUGAGCUAUAAGAUGAUGUUUAAAGAUGAUUGUUCUCUUGGAGAAAUGAUGAGCGUCAGAAGAACUUUGUUGAUAAGGCGUGAGCGCGUGCUGUCAACUACGGGCCUGCUGUUUUUAGUUUAACGUGUUUUGUAUUUUUGGUUAUUUUUGUAAUUACGAAUUUAAUAUUUCAGAUAUUAGUAUUUUAUUUUAAAUAGAAUUCUAGAGGAGAAGAGAGAGAGAGUAUUUAAGGGAGGAAUCUAUUGUGAAAAAAGGGGAUUUUGGAUUGGAGGAAAAGAAAAGAAACCCUAGAUCUAAUUUUUCUCUUCUCUCUAUGAAGAACUAAACUUAUUUUUCUGGUUGAAGGAUAAUGAAGCUUUGAUUCAUCACUACUGUGAGAUCUUUCUUGUGCUUUAAUUGUUUUAUUGCUUUUUGGGUAUUUGUUUAUUCUCUGAAUUAUUUUCAUGAUUAUGUUUGUUAAUUAGAUAAUUGGCCACUAUUUAAUUAUCAACUUAAUCUAUUGUUAAUUAAAGGAUUUAUCGUAUGAAGAAUUUAAUGUUUGUGACAAAUAACAUAGCAGAGAGUUGUGUUGUGAGAAUAAACAAUCUAAUUUAAAUGAAUCAUCAUAUGUGUUGAUUAGGAUUUAGGUCUCUCUGGUUUUUCAGGCUGUCAAUUGAUUAAAUCCUAUGAUCGUAUCUAGGGUUGUCCAUUGAUUAGGGAAAUAUCCAACGGUCGUACCUUGGUUAUCGACUAAUUAAGGAGAGAUUGGCUAUUAGAGGGUCUCAGUAGCUAUAACCGGUCUAUUCAUAAGUAAUAAUAAUUUAUAUUUGAAUCAAUGAUCAGUAGUCGAAUCAAGCUGAGUUAAUUCCUUCAACCGGAGCUUUCUCCAAUUUGAAUUACAACUUUAAUUUGCAUUCUUGUUAUUUUAAUUUGAUUUUUAUUAUUGUCAACAAUUCCCCCAUUUUACGUUUUACGUUUCAAAAGGAUUUAAAUAAUUACCGAUCUCUGUGGACACGACCCUGCUCAAUCACUAUACACAAUUUAUUUAGAGUAGGAAUUUAUUUUUGUUGGCUUCGACAACCAUCAAAUUUUGGCACUGUUGCCGGGGAUUGGUGUCAUUUAUUUAAUCCUUUUUACGUUUUACUUGGUGUAUGAUUCGUUCUUCUCGUACAGGUACACUUUCGUUUGAUCCUGAAAUUGAGAAGAUAGCUCGCCACCUGAGACAGCAGACGAAGCGAGCUAAGCAACGAUCCUCGUCACCUUUGCUUUCUGAAACAGAUACGGUGCUUGAUUUAGUUGAAUCAUCUAGCGAUUCGGAAGAACAAGUGAUGGAUAGAGUUGCACCUGUAGAAAGAACUCUUAGAGAGUUAGCUGAACCAGACUUGAAUCAACAACCACUCUGCAUUCAAUAUGUAGACUUGGAGGUAAAUUUUGAAUUAAAGUCUGGUCUUAUUCAUUUAUUACCCAAGUUUCGUGGUUUUGCAGGUGAAGAUCCUCAUAAACAUCUUAAGGAGUUUCAUGUUGUGUGUUCAAGUAUGAGGCCACAAGGCGUGACUGAAGAGCAGAUUAAGCUGCGUGCUUUUCCGUUCUCUGUAGAUGGGCUAGCUAAAGACUGGUUGUACUACUUGCCUCCUGGAUCGAUUACAACGUGGAAUGGUUUGAAGAAGCAAUUCCUCGAGAAGUACUUUCCUACUUCAAGAGCUGCCAACAUCAGAAAAGAUAUUUGUGGGAUCAGACAACUUCCUGGGGAGACUUUGUAUGAGUAUUGGGAGCGAUUUAAACAAUUGUGUGCCAGCUGUCCUCAGCAUCAGAUUUCUGAUCAACUUCUUAUUCAAUAUUUUUACGAAGGACUGUCAUUGAUGGAUAGGAGUAUGAUAGAUGCUGCUAGUGGAGGCGUGUUGGUGAACAAGACCCCUACUCAAGCAAGGGAGCUGAUAUCAAAUAUGGCUGCCAAUGCACAACAAUUUGGCAGCAGGCAAGAUCCCACUUCAAGGAAGGUAAAUGAGGUAAAUAUUUCUUCUGUUGAACAACGUUUAGAUAAACUUACUUCUCUUGUGGAAAAGUUUGUUGUAGGUAAUGUGCAACAUAUGAAGACUUGUGGCAUUUGUUACAAUAUGGGUCAUUCAAUUGAUAUGUGUCCUACACUUCAAGAAGAACCCGUUGAACAAGCCAAUGCAAUUCAAGGAUUUCCAGGCAUGCCUCAGAGGAGGUAUGAUCCUUAUGCACAAACAUACAAUCCGGGAUGGAAGGAUCAUCCCAACUUCAGCUAUGGAGUUAGGCCGUCAGGAUUCCCACAACAGUAUCCACCAAGACAACCAGCACCUCCACAGUCAAACUCCAAGUCAGGUAUAUCUCUUGAAGAAAUUGUUAAAUCACUUGCGACUAACACUCAACAAUUUCAGCAGGCAACUACAGCAAGCAUUCAGAAUUUGGAGAACCAAAUGAGUCAAUUGGCGAUUACAGUGAGCCGUCUGGAGUCUCAAGUAUUAGGGAGAUUGCCUUCACAAUCUGAGGUGAAUCCAAAGCAAAACAUUAGUGCUGUCAUCCUUAGAAGUGGGAAGGAGUUGCAAGAGCCUAGUAAGAAAGUGACAAAGCAUGUAGAAGAUGAGUUUGAGAAGAAUGAAUUGAUGCCUCAAUCUCAAGAUGUGGAACCCACCAGAGCGAAACCCCUACCUAUUGUGAUACCUCCUCCUUUUCCAAGCCGGUUUGCAAAAUCCAAGAAGGAGGAACAAGAGAAAGACAUCCUUGAGACAUUUCGCAAGGUUGAGGUAAAUAUUCCUUUAUUAGAUGCUAUAAAACAAAUACCUCGAUAUGCUAAAGUCCUUAAGGAACUGUGCACCUCCAAGAGAAAAUUAAGAGGAGAUGAAAAAGUUCACAUGGGGGAGAAUGUUUCAGCAGUUCUCCAAAAGAAACUACCUCCUAAGUGCAAGGAUCCAUGUAUGUUUACUAUCCCUUGUAAAAUUGGUAGUGUUAGAAUUGAAAAGGCUUUGUUAGAUCUAGGAGCUGCUAUUAAUGUCAUGCCUCGUUCCAUUUAUUCAUCUUUAAAUUUGGUCCAUUAAAAGAAACUGGCGUGAUAAUUCAACUAGCUGAUAGGUCUAAUGCAUAUCCUGAUGGGGUAUUAGAAGAUGUCUUAGUACAAGUUAAUGAGUUGGUUUUUCCUGCUGAUUUUUAUGUACUUGAUAUGGAAGAGGAUAACUCCUCUAAUUCUGUCCCAAUUUUGCUAGGAAGACCUUUUCUUAAGACUGCUAGGACUAAAAUGGAUGUACAUAAAGGGACUCUUACUAUGGAGUUUGAUGGAGAGGUUAUAGAAUUCAAUAUGAAUGAUGCCAUGAAAUAUCAUAGUGAGGAACAUUCGGUAUUUUCUGUAGAUGUUAUUAACCCGAUAGUGCAGGAAGUUAUUUACAAGGAAAAAACGACGACAUUUCAUGAUAGAAUGAUUUUGUGAAAGGAGUUCUCUGUUGGUCAAAAAGUUCUUCUUUUUCAUUCUAAGCUUAAACUUUUUUCGGGUAAAUUACGUUCUUGCUGGGUUGGACCUUUUAUUGUUACUAAUAUUUUUCCUCAUGGUGCAGUUGAGAUUCGGAGUCCGACCUCUGACAAAGUUUCUAAGGUUAAUGGUCAUCGCUUAAAACCUUUUUAUGAAGGUUUUUCGGUGAAUAUUGUGGAGGAUGUGGCUCUCGAGAGUCCCAAUUAUGGAGAUUGAUGCAUAAAUGUGUCUAGCCAAAGACAUAAAACAAAGGCGCUUUUUGGGAGGCAACCCAAAUGAUUUAUUUAUUUUGGUUUUUGUUAUAUCUUCUUUUAAUUUUGAUUCUUUUUUUUUUUAAUGUGUUUGCUUAUUUUGGUCAGAAUAAAAUUUUUGAUAAGGCGUGUCCACGUCUUAACUAAUAAGUACUUCUGUGAUUUUUAAAGUAAAAUGGUUUUAAGGUGUGCCCACGUGCUUAUUAAAAAAGUGCAUCUGAAAUUUUUGUUGUCUCAAAGUGAUUCAUCACAAAAAUAAAAAAAAAAUUAUUUAUUUAUUAUUUUUUUUUCUAUUUAUUUUUUUUUAAAAAAACGAAAAAAAAAGGAGAUUUUCUUUUGUUCUUUCUUUUAUAUAUUUAUUUAUUUAUUUAUAAAAAAAAUUCAAAAAAUCACUGUUAAAAAAAAAAAUUUACUGUUCAUAAAAUCCCUAAUUUUCCAGAACUUGUUUUCUUCUCCAACCGCUUGCAGCACACCAGCAGCAAAGCAGCCCGCCGGAAAACGCACCACCCCGCGCGCGCAGCACCAGCAUCGAGCACCAUCCCGCGAGCGCAGCACCAGCAUUCUGUGUCUCGCAGCCCAGCAGCGCGCAACGAAGUCCCACCAGCGCGCAACGCAGCCUCACCAGCGCGCAACGCAGCCCCAACGCACAGCAAACGAGCACGCCCCGCAACGCAGAUCCGCAGCUCUAGCCCGCCCGCGCAGCGCAAAUCAAUCCAGCCAUCACCAUCGCGCAGCGCAUCGGUCCCGCGCGCGCAACGCAACGCAGCAUCAGCAUCCCACGUCCAGCGAGCAGCAACCCGCGCGCGCAGAUCUAGUCUUCGCCCAGCAGCGCGCAGAACCAGCGUCAGCCUAGCUCUCGCGCGCAACACAGCCCACGCAGCACGCAGAUCUAGUAGCCCCAGCGCGCGCGCACAACACAAUCAGCGCCAUCCCGCGUCCAUCAAGCAAGCUCCAGCCGAGCAGCAAUCGCAACGCAACCAACGUACGACCUAUAUUCCAGCUGGAUAAAUCGAAAUCCGUGAGUGCAAUUAUUGUAACAAUGCCGAAGAGAAAAGCAUCAACUUCCAAGUCAUCUAAAAAGACACCCGUCGCAAAUAAAUCCAAGAUUGCCGGUCCCACUACGGUUCCUUGGAACACAAUUUCAGAUUCACGCCAAGCCGUGAGACAAAGCUCGAAACAUGGAAAAGGCAUGAGUGUUUUGCCACUUGCAGAAUCCAAUCUUGGAGGGUGCCUCGCAUUCGCGACUCAACAAGAGAAAGAGAGGUACAAAGAUAUUUUCACGCACAAAAUACUUCCAGCUAAGUAUAUUCCUUACCUGACUCUUGAAAAAUUGAAUGUUAAGGAUAAUUUUGAUUCUUUGAUAGAUAAGAUUGGGUUGCGUAAGUUUGUUGAUGUUGAUUGUUUGGGUUAUGUUGAGUUGAUUAGGGAGUUUUAUGCUACUUUUCAAUUUAAUAUGUCGAAUGAUUUUACUUUGCAUACCCCGGAUGUCAUAAAGUUUAGGUUAAUGGGACGAAAUUUUUCACACUCUAUCACGGAUUUUAACCUAGCUUUAGGAUUCAUUGAUGAUGAUUAUUCUUCUAGUGAUGCAUAUUUAGGAACAACUUGUGACUUUAGCGAAAAUUUUGAGCCUUAUGGUCUUUGCCGUAAUUUAUCUGUUGAUCACAAUGCUUAUGACCCAAGUAAAUCAAAGAGUUCUUUCUUACGUGAUCCUGUUUUGAAAUGUGUGCAUCGAUUCUUAGCAUAUAAAUUUUUAGGCAAGAAAGAUCACUCAGGAGUUUUCUCUAAAACUGAAUUUUAUUUUAUCUGGUGCAUGUUAAAUGAUGUGAGGCCUAAUUUAGGUUUUUGGUUAGCGGAUUAAUUUCAAAGUGUGCUUAAACGGUAUAUGACUUUAUUUCUUGGUCCAUACAUUACUCUGUUAGCUGUAAACCUACCUAUGUGUGCUUGAUCUUGACAAUAAUGAUUUGCAUCUUGCUUGAUUUUUGGAUAUGUCUGAGUUUGAAAGAACAGGUGUGGUCGAAUUCAAGGAGGGGAGAUUUCAGUUUACUGAACCAGCACCCACUCAACCUCCGAAGAAGCUUUAUGCUAGAAGUGGUGCUACCUCUGAUGACGAGUUUGACGACGACACUGCUGCCCCGCCAACUAUUCCUUCUACAUCCGCACCACCUUUGAGCAUUCAGUUAGAGAAAAUGGAGCACAAGCUGCACAAGAUGGAGCAGAAUUUGGCCGCACACUUCGAGAGUGUGGGAUUUACCCCACCAUUUCCGCCAAGCCCAUAGACGUUAUGUGGAUCAAAGUUCACAAUUCAGGGAAGUUUCUUUUUGCCCUUAAUCUUUUAUCCUUACGCUUUAAUUUUUGUGUGAGCUUUGAUUAUCUUACAUUGGGGACAAUGUAAGUUCUUGGUGUGGGGGAGGGAUUUUUGCAUUAUUGAUGUCUGAAAUUAUUGUUUUCACUCUACUCAUCCUUAAAUGAUUUUGGAGUUAGUAUGCUUUAUAUAUUAUUAAUUUUCUUUUCCUUUCUCUCUCACUACUCUUUUCCCAUCUAUCUCAAAUUAUUUACAUCUAUUUUUUUUUCUAUCAUACUCUUUCAUCACUCACAUUUUAUCUUUCAUUUUUUUUACUACAUACAUCUUUCUCGCUUAUUAUCCUUUUUACCUUUCCUUUUAUAUCUCACUCAUACCUUCUUCUCAUUCUACACCACUAUUGAUGGUUGAUUCGUUUGAAGAGUGUACAGGAUUUGAUGGCAAAUUUACCAACUUUGUGAGGAUUUAAGCCUAUGAGCAACCACUUUGCUCUAAUUAUUUUUUGUUAUGUGAAUAUCAAUCCUAGUUUGUUUAUUCUAGAACUUGCUUUGUUAUGCAUGUUGAAGCCACAUUACGGGAUUUUAUGCAUUAAAAUGAUAAGGGCAAACCCUUUUCUAUUUUUCUAUUCUCCCAUUUUUUUUUCUCUAUCCGAAGACCUUUAUUUGCUAUCUUGGUUUGAGCCUUAACCAUUACCCAUCUAAUUCUCUCCGUCUACUUAACCAUUUUUCUUCUUUUUGAGCCUCAAUUUAAUGAGAUUUUUUUUGGACUCAUUGUGUGGAUAUAUUUUGUUGCUUUUUCUACCUUGUAUUAAAGUUUCUCAAUUAGAUCAACAAGCAUUAUGCUUGAAUUGAAUUGUGCAAGGUUCGUUUCUUUUGUUUGAUUCAAAAACAAAAAAAAAAAGAAAAAGAAAAAGAAAAAGAAAAAUCGAAAAAAAAAGAAAAAAAAUGUUUACAUUCUUGGUGACAUGAGUAGAAAUAAGCAUUUUGAUAUCAUAAGUUCAUUCAAUGAGUUCAUUCUUCUCAUUUUGAUCUCUUUUUCUUUCGUAAACCUUUCUUUUUCAUUCAACCUAUUUAACCCCAUUACAACCCUUUUAAGACCCUUAGAUUUUUGCAUUUUAUUCAUGUUUUGUGGAUUGAGAUGUGAUAUAUGAGCAAGCUUAUGGUAAUAGCAUUCUUUGAUUUGAUUUGAGUGAAUAAAUGACACCCUAAAUACUUUGAGUGCAUGGAGUGAAGUUAUUGAGAGGGCUAUUAAAUAUUGUUGCACUUGAAUUUUGAAUGGAUCUUCUUGGUGGUUGAAUGUUCUUAUUCUAUCUUAUGAAAUUCUAUGCUUUAAAAUCCUUGUCUCUAGAAUGUUGAUCGACUUAAUUUCUUGAGGUAUGCUUGCCUAAAAUUGUUUUUGGAUGAGUUGAGAUGAGAAUUGAGUGGAACUUUGGGAUUAAUCUUGAGUUAUAUGCUUGAGGACAAGCAUCAUCUUGGUGUGGGGGAAUUUGUUAGAGUGCAAUUUAUGCACUAGUUUUGCAUUGUUUACUUCCCUUAAUAUCGAUGUUUUGCACUUAAUAAUAAUGAUUUACUUGUGUUUUACUUUUGUUGGUGCAAUUCUAUUUAUUUGUGAUAAAAUUGAGCUAUAAGAUGAUGUUUAAAGAUGAUUGUUCUCUUGGAGAAAUUAUGAGCAUCAGAAGAACUUUGUUGAUAAGGCGUGGGCGCGUGCUGUCAACUACGGACCUGCAGUUUUUAGUUUAACGUGUUUUGUAUUUUUGGUUAUUUUUGUAAUUAUGAAUUUAAUAUUUCAGAUAUUAGUAUUUUAUUUUAAAUAGAAUUCUAGAGGAGAAGAGAGAGAGAGUAUUUAAGGGAGGAAUCUAUUGUGAAAAAAAGGGAUUUUGGAUUGGAGGAAAAGAAAAGAAACCCUAGAUCUAAUUUUUCUCUUCUCUCUAUGAAGAACUAAACUUAUUUUUCUGGUUGAAGGAUAAUGAAGCUUUGAUUCAUCACUACUGUGAGAUCUUUCUUGUGCUUUAAUUGUUUUAUUGCUUUUUGGGUAUUUGUUUAUUCUCUGAAUUAUUUUCAUGAUUAUGUUUGUUAAUUAGAUAAUUGGGCACUAUUUAAUUAUCAACUUAAUCUAUUGUUAAUUAAAGGAUUCAUCGUAUGAAGAAUUUAAUGUUUGUGACAAAUAACAUAGCAGAGAAUUGUGUUGUGAGAAUAAACAAUCUAAUUUAAAUGAAUCAUCAUAUGUGUUGAUUAGGAUUUGGGUCUCUCUGGUUUUUCAGGCUGUCAAUUGAUUAAAUCCUAUGAUCGUAUCUAGGGUUGUCUAUUGAUUAGGGAAAUAUCCAAUGGUCGUACCUUGGUUAUCGACUAAUUAAGGAGAGAUUGGCUAUUAGAGGGUCUCAGUAGCUAUAACCGGUCUAUUCAUAAGUAAUAAUAAUUUAUAUUUGAAUCAAUGAUCAGUAGUCGAAUCAAGCUGAGUUAAUUCCUUCAACCAGAGCUUUCUCCAAUUUGAAUUACAACUUUAAUUUGCAUUCUUGUUAUUUUAAUUUGAUUUUUAUUAUUAUCAACAAUUCUCCCAUUUUACGUUUUACGUUUCAAAAGGAUUUAAAUAAUUACCGAUCUCUGUGGACACGACCCUGCUCAAUCACUAUACACAAUUUAUUUAGAGUAGGAAUUUAUUUUUGUUGGCUUCGACAACCAUCAGCUCCAUUACAGAGUUUCAUCAAUUUGAAAUAGAGAAUCAUUUGUGUUCUAGAUUAAUCGAGGGUCUAUAUCCAAAUCUAAAAAUUGACUAACUUGGUUUCUAUUAAAUUCUUAAUCCUAACAAGAAAAAUAGAAGAUUAAAAAUGACUAAUUUGGUUUCUAUUAAUUUGAGUAACGAUCGAAUUACCUCAUUUAUUAAGAUUUAUCAAAAUCCUAUGUCAAAAUCCAUUAAUAAUAUAGGUUGGAUGAUGAAAUAGUCACUUAUUAUUAUUUUUGACUUCAUAAAUAGAUGAACGGAUGUUAUUUUUGGAUUCUGGAGAAUCCAAAAUAUCAGGAUAUGUGAUAAAUGGAAUUAAGUUGUAGAUAAGAUAGAAAUGGAUUUGGAGAGAGAUUGGAAUCCUGGGUAAUCCGGUGUACGUUGUUGUGUUGAAUGCUCGUUGACUUCACGUUGACUGACACAUUAUUGGAAGAAGUGAGCAAGCUUAUUUUCUUCUCUCAUUUUUAAAUUUGUCUAAGUUUAUUGAUGUGAGGCCUUUGAGAUUGUAAGUUUCAAAUCUGAGAAGAAUAACCACACACCCAUUAAUAAAUUUGUGAGGAUUGUGAGGGUUGAUGCAAUAUAAUUUAGAUGCAAAGUGUUUACAAGUACGAUGCUUCAUAAGUGUUCUUCAAUCAUUAUAAACUCACGUUAUUUUUAUAAUGAUUGUUUCAUCUGCACAUGGAUAUAAUCAUAUGUUGAGAUUUUUUCCUAAAUUAUGGUCUUAUUUGGUAUUGAGGUGUUAGAUCUUUUAAGAUACAAUUACUAUUGGAAAAAAUAGUGCAACUAUGAAAUAAAAGUUAAUAUUGUGUACUAAUUAUAAUUGUUAAAUAAUAAUUUUGACAAAAUUAGUGAAGAUAUAUAGUUUUUUUUUUAUCAUAUAAGUAUAAAAUCAAAUCAACUUAACUUCUAAACUAUAUAGCAGCUACUGCUUACCAAAUAUUUUAGUGCUGUAGCUUUUAAGUUAUAACUGCCUAACCUCAGUCUCAAACAAUGGCUAUAAAGAUCAAAGAUUUCCUCAUAAAAAUUAUACGUCUUGUGAUUGCUUAUUUAAUUUAUAUUUUUUUAUUUAUCUUUAUUAAUUACAAUCAUCUUUUAAUAAAUUACAAUUGGAGGAAGUUGAUGUUCGAAGUGCUUAUGUCGACUCGAAGUUGUUGGGAAUUAAUGCAUGUAUUGAUUUAUUGGGAGUGUUUAAAUGAUUUUGUGAUUUACUUGAUUGAUUGAUUGAAUAUUGUUUGAUUACUUUGUAUCCAUUCUAGAAAGUUUAUUUCUUUGUGAAAUUUCGACAAAAUAUGUUUUUCUUUUUAAAUAAUAAGGGUGUUUUAAGUAAUUUUUAAAAAUAAAUGGACUAACUAGAAUUAAUUAUUAGGUAACUAACUCGAACUGUACAAGGUAAGCGAACAUUUAUGCUGAUUAUAUCAUGAUAAAUCAUUUUCCGAUUAGAAUUAGGAAACCAUUAGCAUAUUGACUUUUUUUUUUUUUUUUUUCAAUCUCCCUUUGCGAAAACGGAUUACAGAAUUAGAAAACAAUCCUAAUGAUAUUAUUGUUAGGUUUAAAACACGGCAUAGAUAGUCAAAAGCUAACUAGUCUGCAGUAAUUUGUUAAUUGCUAUCGCCUCUCCAUGCGUGGUGAAUAAUUUGUUGCAUGCAAACUUUUUCCAUUUUAAAUAAACACAACGCGAUGUUUAUCUGCUCCGCGUUUUGCAAUCUGUUUAUUCGUUGUUUAUUUGCUUCGUAAGUCCUCAAACUUUGAUAACCAAAAAUUUCACCAAACUAUGAAAAUUAUUCUGCAGGUUAGUUUUUAUUUUCGGAAUAAUUAUUUGAGAAUACUAAAACACAAUAUAAAAUAAGAAAAUAGGGGGUUAAAAUUUGAAAAAAAAAAACAAAAGGGCAUGUUGGAUAGAUUACUGUGGUUUAAGAAAAAAAAUUAUUCAGUUGGGAAUUUUUUUUCUUUAAUUUUUGUUUUACUUAAUUGAGAUUUCUCCUUAAUCCUUACAGUUUUAAAUUUGGAUAACAUAGGAUUAGUAAUUUAGUACUUCCUUUGCAAGCUGAGGUUAAGGAUGAAAUUCUUUUAAGAAAAAAAGAUAAAAGAGCAUAACAAUAGUCAAUUAUAAAUAACCACAAAUAAAUACAAACAAAAUGUUUAUGAAGUAAAUUAAAAAUGCACAUAUUAUUUUUUAUUUUAUUUCUUACUAAUCUGUGUAUUUGCUGCUUGAAAAACCAUAAAUACACAGAUGACCAUUGGCUUCGCACCAUUUAAUCGGGAUACAUUUCUACGUACAAACUGAACAAGGCUAUUGAUUUUUAUUUAUUUAUAAAUUACUAUUUCAAUUUUCACUUUUUAUUGGGUUGUUUAAUGGAUUAGUGAGGCUGGUGGUCGUUGAUGCACUCACAAGGUACAAUUUUGUUUUCAAAUUUCAAAUUCGUAUUUUAAAAUGCAGCACAUUAUGCAUACAUAAUUAUUGAUUUUCAUAUGUGGGUGUUUUGAAAUAUUGCUAAAAGGCCAAACUUUAAUAAACUAUUUUUGAUCCUUUUUUGUUUCUUUUUUCCUAAAGUUUGAGUGAUAUCCGCAUUUUUAAAAGCUAAUGUAUGCAAAAAAUUCUUUCAUUUUUCUGGGGAAAAUAGGUAAGAGAAAAAGUUUUGGCAAAUGAGCUGCAACUGAAUUCAAAACCAAUACGAUGCGAGCAUAGGAAAGAGGUCAGUGUUUUGGAUUUGAAUUUAAAGAGGUCAGUGUUUUGGAUUUGAAUUUAGUAUUGAGCUGAAUUUUAUGUUUAACACAUGAUUCUAUUAUAGUACUGCGAUUAAUAAGCUCAGCCCCGGAUUUGCUUUUGCUUUUGCUUUUACUUCAAGUGAAAGAAAGAGGAAACCUUUUGUUUUUUCUUUGGUUUUUGACUAUGUUACCUAUACAGAGAGUCAAGAUAUCAGCCAUAAGUGAUGGUGUUAAAAAGAUUAAGCAGCGCACACAAUCUUACUGCUGUCUAGACGAUCCAAUGAUGACUCCAGUCUUUUGGUUACAUUAGCUUUAGUUGAAAUAAGGGCCAAUUUAGCAAACACUAGCUUUGGUGGCUUAUUAUGUUUAAUGUAAUGCUUAUUCUUAAGGAAUCUAAUGUAUAUAAGAUGAUUGAAUGAUCUUCUAUGAUUGUGAGUAGUAUAGGAUAAUUGAAAAGAGUCUGGUGUUAAAGGCUUACAGUUUUAAGCCUUUUAAACCAUGCGAUUUUAAAGUUUUACCGGAUUUUCCCGCACUUUAAAAUUUUAGACUGAAACAUUUUUGUAUAUAUAUACAUAAAAAUAUAUAUAUAUAAAUAUAUAAAUUAAGAGGGAUGAGUUAACUGAAGAUUAUAAUCAUUACAACAAUGCUGAUGAGUGAUACAUCACUUGAAAUUUACUUGUCAGUUGCUGAAAUGAUGAAAAAAAAAAUAAACAAUAACAGUGAUAAUGUUCUCUUGCUGAAAUGACUUGUAUAUUAUACAAUCCACUCUACUUAAUGAUAUCGUUUUAAUAAAUGUUUGAUGAUCUCCAUUUAAAAACUACUUCAAUUUUUUUCUUCAUUUAAGUUUUUGGUUGUUGAAAAUAACCUUAAUUAUCAAAUAAUUGGAGAAAGAGUAAAGAACAUUUAACAAAUUUAUGUGCAAAAAAAAAAAAGGGAGAAGUUGAAGAGAAAGGGUGCUUGCAGAAGUAGGUGUCAAAGAUAAAUCGGUCCAUAGGAAUUAUUUUGGUUAUUUUUUAGCAAUAGAAAAAUUUUUUAGCAAGUAAAAAUUAAUUUUUUUCCGCUUUACUAAAAAAUUAACUAAAAACUUAUGCGAUAGCAUUUUUUAUGGGUGCAUAUACUUCCCUUUAAAAAAAAUAUAAUAAUUAAUGCUUAAUAUAGUAUUAAAUACGAAAAUAUCAAUAUUUGACUACUCAAAUGUAUAUCAUUAGGUCCUUAAAAUUUAAAAUUGAAGAUACAAAAGGUAAUAUAUAUAAAUUUCAUUCUCAUGGGAAAGGAUCAUCUUAUAAUCUUAUAAUAUUUGAGCUUUGAAAGAUUUUUUUGAAACAAAUGUACUUUUAUUUGUGUACAAUCAAUAUGUACUUAUUUAUUAUAUUUUUAUUUAUUAACUAUCAAUCAUGUGAGUAUAUUUAGUCAGAAAAAUUAUAUCAAGAGAGAACCCUAAUUUCACGUAAAGACAAAUACAAGACAAAUAUGGCAAUUUCUAUACUAUUCACUUUCCUGUAAAAUCAAUUAUCUAAAAUGCAAGUUUGUGGCUUCAAAAAACUCGCCAAAGAAAGAAGAUAAUAGCAAUUGAGCAUUGAUAGCAAAUCUAAUGCAUCCAAUUCUUCUUAACUUGAUGAGUGACGUGAAUGCUACCAGUCUGUGACACCCAAAUUUUUAUUAUUUUAUUUAUUUUUUUAAUGGAAUUUGUAAAUGACGUUUUUGCCCUUAUAAAAAGGGUUAUUCAUGGAAUAAUUUUUAGGAAAGGGUUAUUUUUCCAAAUUCAAUAGGGUUUCUUAAGACUCCCUAUAAAUUCAUAUUUUUCUCCUUUCAUAACCCUAAAAGCACGACGUUUCUUCUUUUUCUAUACUGCUCAUUACACUCUUACCCAAACCCUAAGAUUCAAACCUUUGGUUAAGAGAGAAUCAAAGCGAUUGGUAAGUUUAUUCCCCUUAUUCUCUACAAGAUUCCCAAUCACUCUAUCUAGGGUCUAUAUUGGCAUGAUUUUAGAUUGUUAUAGAUCAUAAUACAUGAUUUAGAAUGUGUUUAGGCUUUGUUUAGAGUUUUGAUUUAUUAUGAGUUUAGUUAAUCAACCUUGACGUAUUAAGCACAUAGAAUAGUUCCAUAGAAUAUUAUGUUAUUCUAAGUUUUAGAUUAAGAGUUAAAAUUCUAAGCAUCAGACUUGUACGGGUACGAAUUAGAAAAAUCGGGUUCUUAGAAUAAGUUAUUAAUUGUCAUAUCUUGUAUUUGUUUAAGGUGAUUGAGGCUCUUAGAGGGUUAGAGGUGUGUUAAUUCAAAUUCUUUUGUCGAGGUAAGUAACUUCAUUCCUAAUGUACUGGAUAUAUAUAUAUAUAUAUGAUUAUUUUGAUAUUAUUAUAAGUACACAAAUUUUUUUACUACUUAGAAGAUUAAUUGAUUUUCAUAACAAAAUCAGUUUGUGUAAAUGUUUUCAAACCUAAAUUCCUUUUAAUAAAUUAUUUUGUAAAGGCUUUUAAAUAUGUAAGUUAUUUUAUGACAUGACUACCUUUUAUAAUUUUGUCUAUGAAAUAUUUGCAAGCCUAAAUUGUGGUUAUGGACUUUCAUGAAACUAAUACGAAUGUUUUGUACCUAUGUAUGAUUUCAAUUAUUUAUGAUUGUACGGGGGCCACCUCUUGGGACUAUAUGGGGGCCACCUCUUGAAAUUCAAAGCAUCACAAAAGUGCCACGUAUAAGUCAUUAUGUUUUGGCUCAUUAUCUGUAGUUAUUCUGAUUCUGAUUCUGAUGGUAUAAUACAAUAUAUGUCUGUUCUGGACCAGUACUAGGUUUUUGUUUUGAGUGUGCACAUGAUAUUCUGACUCUGUUUCUGGCCGGGUCACUAGGACUAUAGGUGACACUAUGUGACAUGAGCUAACCUUUUGUUUUCUGUGAAUGUGAUAUAUGAUUUGCUUUUGUAAAUAACUAUGCUUUUGAUAUUCUGAGUUACAAUGAAUUUAAAUUAUUUUAUAGUGAUAUAUCGUUUUAUGAAAUUUAUGGAUUAUGAUAUAUGUUUUAAUUAAAAGAAGGCUUGCAAUAUUUUUGGUAUUGAUAGGUCUAGUGUGUUAGGAAUAUUUUUACUUACCGAGUUGACGGCUCACCCCUCGUCAUUACUUUUUGCAGAUUAAGUUUCUUUUGAGAGCUGCGCUUAGCUUUGGAGUUAGUAAUUUUCUGUUUCCGUUUGCCAUUUGAAUAAGAGGAGAAAUAAACUCAUGUUUCUAUUUAGUUUAUUUAUGUUAUGAAUGUGUAAUUUGGAGUUUGAGACUUUUGUUAUUUUUUUUAUGUCCUCGGGAGAGAUUAUUUAGUAUUAGACGUUUGAAUUUGUGGAUUUAUUUGAAUAAGAAUUUGAGGUAUUUCAGUUUGAAACUUAUGAGUAAAGAUUAUGAUUUGUAAGUAACAUCCUUCUUCACGUGCUCCGCACGUGUUAGAUUUGGGGUGUUACAAUUGUGGUAUCAGGGCAUUAGGUUUGGGAUUCUGUAAACUUUAUUUGAGGCUAGAUUUCUUAAGCACAAUCAAUUAGUUCAAUGGUAUUGCUUGCCAUGAGGUUAUCGGAAAGAGUAGAUCUUUAAGGCGAGGAGUAAUUUUGGUCUUUUUGAUUUUCUAGUUGCUUGUGACUUUGUAAUAACUCCUUGAUAUAGGAUUUUGGUAUUAACGUAGAAUGAAAUAUUUGUUUGCUCUUGUUGUCAAUUACUAACUUUUCUCAAUUAUACUAUUUACUCAGUACUUUGUGCUAUAGCAAGCCCUUUAACUAUGAAUUAUUUACCAUUUUAUUUAUUUAUUUAUUUUUAUUCUUCGUGUUAUAGUCAAAAGAUGUCACGUAGGGGAGGUGCUAGGCAUGCCUUUAGCUCGAGAGAUGUUUUAGGUAUCGUUGAUGACGCUGACCUAACCUUGCGCGAGAUGGCUAACGAAGGGAAUCCUAUGAUGCGCGCAAUGGUUAGAUUGAUGGAACAACAAAGUAAGUUGAUUCAAGAUAUGGCUAGAGGUAAAGUUGGGGCACAUGAGAUUGUGCCAGUUGAAAGACAAGGUGGUGGAAGAGAUCAGGGAGGUAUGAUGAGCUUAGAGCGGUUUAGGAAAUUGAGACCACCUACCUUUCAGGGGGCUGCCAAUCCUAUGGUUGCAGAGGCAUGGCUAAAACAGAUGGAGAAGAUAUUUAUGGCUAUGGGUUGUAAUGAUGAUUAGAGGGUGAUAUUGGCCUCAUUGGUCCUUUAGGGUGAGGUAGACCACUGGUGGGAUGCCAAAUCCCGUCUUUUGAGGGCCGGGUUGCAAGAUGCACCUAUUACUUGGGAGUUAUUUCUGAAGGCUUUUCAUGAAAAAUAUUUUCCUGAACGAGUUCGACAUCAGAUGGAGGCUGACUUCCUGAAAUUGACUCAAGGAACAAAGCAUGUUGCGGAGUAUGAGGAGCAAUUUACUGCUCUAUCUCGUUUUUCUCGUACCUUAGUUGCUAAUGAGGGUAGUAAGUGUAGGAAAUUCUUGGAAGGCUUACAUCCAAACAUAAAAAGACGGUUGACCAUCCUUAAGCUUAAUAAUAAUGCCCAUUUGGUGGAUAGUACGAUUAUUGCAGAGAGGGAUAUAAUUCAAUCUCAAGUUGCACGAUCUAAUCGACAUAAUAACCAGCCAAUAAAACAUGAUAGUAAUGGUAGUGAAGGUGAACAUAAGUGCACUCUAAUGGUGGGUCUAUUCAAGAGAACAAACCAUUCUGUAAUCGUUGUGACAAGUACCAUAAUGGCACGUGUUAUUUAAAGAUAUGAGCUUGUUUUGGCUAUGGACAGAUUGGGCAUAAGGUUAUAAAUUGCCCAAAAAAGCACAGUGGUAACAUAGAUUCUGCCGAGAACCAAAGGAAAAAGCCACGUGUCUUCGCCAUGGUGGAGCAAGAUAUUAAAAAACCGAAUAACGAAGCCUCAGGUGCAUUACCUAUUUUCCAUAGAAAGCCUUGAAUUUUUGAGUAAUUGGUAUUGUGCUUUUCCUCCAUCCUUUCUUAUUGGAUGCAUCGUAGCUAGAGUUUUUAGCCUAAUAAUCACUACUAGAAAAAUAGGCUUUACUGACGCUAAAUUAGUGUCAGUAAUUACUUUUCCUGACACUUAUUAAUUGUGUCAAUAAUGCUCCAGCCAUAAUACACUGACACUAAUUUCUAGUGUCAGCGAUUUUUGUGUCAGUAAUUCAUGUCAUUAUGGUAUCACGAAAAUAAUGACACGAUAGCGUUAGUAUUUAAUGAUACUAUUUAUAUGUCAGUAAUUUAUGAGACUACAGUAUCAAGAGCACACUGACUCAAUAACAUCAAAAAUUACUACUGCUAUUUUAAACAUUUAGUGUCAGUAUUUAGUGAUGUUAUGGUUCUUUUGGUUAAUAGUAUACUUUGAUUUUAAUUAUAUUUUCCUAUUUGUUUUACAACUGAAAGAAAACUCAAAAUAUAUUAAAUAUACAAAAUCUCGCAACACAAUUGCAUAAGAAACAUCUCAAAUACAUCACUCAAAUUCAUAUCAUUAAACUACAUCAUUGUUUGGAAAAGAAAAAUAUAAAUACUAAAUUAAGUCUUGGACAAGCUCUUAACAACCAAGUACUAAGUUAAGAUUCAACAAAUAUUAACCAACAAAAAGAAGCACAUAAUGUCAUUGAACAUCCACAAGCGGCUUCAUUUUUCUUUUCCCACCUACAAGUACAUAAAAUCAAUUAGUAUACCACAAAAAGUAAUUCUUGAAUUUUUGGGAGAAAAAACAAUCAGGCCAAUUUCAGUGUUCAAAGAGACUAACAAAGAAUGGGGGCAAAAACAAUACAUAGCUCUCUUAGUGCAAGCUAAUUGUAAUAGGUAGUAUUGUGAAGAAUAUUUAUCUGCUAAGAAUUGAACUUGAGUGGAUUUUCCUACAGAUCUAUACACAACUCAACUUAAGAAGAAUAAAAAAAUAAAAAAAUAAAAAUCCUAAGGAUUAAGAAAGAUAAAUGGAGAUUUAUUAGUAUACAUCCAAAAUUAGAAACUCAUUAAACAAUCCAGGGGUAAAAAUUGAGGAAUAAGAAUAUAGCGUAUCUCAGGAUAAGACCAAAGACAUAAUAACAGAAACAUUUGAGGCAAACCACUACAAAGUUUUUACAUAAUAACCCAAAGCAAAGCAAACCAUUAUAAAAUUUUUACAUAAUAACCUAGAAACAAAACAGACGAAAAUUGGGCAAGUCCAUAUCCCAAACCUCUGUUAGGAAAAAUGUGUUCAGCAGACUCAUGGCUCCAACAAUAGAAAUUAACCCGUACACAAGGAAACAAAUUAAUUGAUAUAAAAAACAGUCAAAGACAAAGCCAACUAAGAAGAUUAACUAAUUUGGAGAUUGAAUUACAUAGUUAUUUUUACAAAAUAUAGCAUAAGCCCAUUGUAUUUCAUAGUAAGCAACUGCAAAAAUGCCUAGAGGCAAAUUCAUAAAGGAAGAGUAGAUAGAAGAAAAAAAAGACGAGGAAAUAAACAGCUUGAAACAAACAAAUCACCUAACACAUCAUGGGGAAUUGACUUGUUAACGUUAAAGAGCAAAAUAAAACUUGGCACCUUCAUUCGAAAAAGAACAGACGCUUACCCCUUACGGAGAAUGGCUUAGGUUUUUCUUUAGAGUUUCAGGCUGAUUUAUAAGAAUAUGAAGAAGAAAUGAUUAUGGAAGUUUGAUAGUGAUCAAGGAUUGAAUAUUGGGCUUAAAAUACAAAUUGGCAGUGAGGGCUGGUUUUCGAUCAUAAUGUUGAGAGACCACUAAUUCCCAAUACUUGUACCCUCUCACAGAAAAAUCCAAAUUUAAUAAACAUGAACUAAAUCCAGUGUAUUGAGUGUUAUUAUUUAAUGGAACAUAAAAUCUCUGGGUCAAAUAAUUCUAAAGUUAAACCAACAAUAAUCCCAAAAGCUAUAGUUGAUAAGAAAGGCCCAACAGUAUACUUCUAUCACACAAAAUUUGAAGAUAGAAAAAAGAAGGGCCUUUUUGUUUUUUAACUGAAACUGAAAAAAGAUUCAGUAUUAACAAUUCAUAAAUUUUAAAGACGUUGGUUUUCCAUCUUAACACUGAAAACUUGGUGUUUAUAUAUCCGAAUAUAAUUAAGCCAAAAAUUUUAAUUUAUCACUAAAUAGGAAAACAACUAAAUAAGCUGCAUAGUUUUAUUUUCCAAUAAAUGCUUAUAAUAUUUAUUCAUUCCUUACCAUAUAAAAACCUAUCCUUCAUUAUUUAUUUAUUUUUUAUAGGAAACAGAGAAAUUAGUAUUAAUAAGAACAAUAAUUACAAAAUGUCAAAAGGGUGUCCACAAAAAAAGGCUAUUGAAGUAUCACAGACCAAUCUCCAAAUUAGGCAAGCACUCAGAUUCCAAGCUAAUACUCCAAAAAACAAAUCUAACCUCAAACUACCUGAUAAACAGCUCAAAAUGACAUAAUCCUCAACAUUCUUCAGACUAAUUGAUCAUGCAUCAAGGUAUGUUGGGAUCUACAAAUACAUUGAAAAGAUCUUUGCAAAUAACAGUACAACUAGAAAGCUUGGUGUUUACAUUCUUGAAAAUUCUUUUUAUUGCUGACAAUAGAAAGGGAUUCCUUUUUCUGCUUAUUUCCUAAAAAUACUAAUAUAUGCUGCCCCACUAUACUCACAAGUAAUCUUACACAAAUGCUCUUUAGACAAGAUUAGUAUUUGCUACCUUUCACCCCAAUUACAAAACCAUAGAAACUCACCACCUAGACAAAUUUUAAAUUGUCUCUAUAGUUGGCUAUUAAAAACUGCUAAAUUUGUUUGCAGCCAUGCCCAAAAAUUUCAAGAACAUUGAACACAACGUAUUAUAGGUACAAACAAGAUAAAAUGAUGUUCCAGGAUUCACUCGACAUGUCAUCCAAGGUGAUACAAAACGGUAGAACUAUAGAACUAGGACAAAACUUGCAGCAAGAUAAUGGCAAUUUCCCCCUUUCGUGUAAGAUAAUCAUAUUAUUCUUCAAAGAGAGACGCACAAAAAAAAAAUGCUUGUUGAAAACAAGCAAGCAUAUGGGUAUGAGUCUAUUGUUGUUUAUCUGUGAAUCAUGUUAAUAACCAGCCACAGAAAAAUAGUAAACAAUAGUUUUCACACAAUCGAUGCAUAUUAACACAAGCCACGGAUUAUGAUUUCACUAACCAUUGCACACAAAGGUUCCAGACCAAUUUUAGAAGGAGGUUCUACAAGUUACUUUCCUUCAACUACUUGAAAAUCAAUCAUUAACUAAAGAAAUACACAUGAAAUUAGUUUAAAUAAUAGGAAAGGUAAAGGAGACAUUUUAUAAAAACUCUUAAAUGUGGUACUAUGAUUUCCACAGACUGUGCAACAAAAAUAAAAUUGGAUGAACUAUAAUAAGUGAGAAGACAUAUUGUAAUUCUAUCAUCAAAGAAAGAUAAGCUUAAUCAUUUUUAAUUUUUUCUCAAAUAUCCAGUAGUACCUUAAGGUAAUAGGACAAGAUCGCAGAAGUUGUCAUGAAGAGUGUAAAGCACUAAAUAACAAAAAUUAUACUAAUAAAUAAAACUCAAUUUAUUUUCUCCCUCAAUCAAUUGCUUUGAGCUUACUAUGAAUUCAACUAUGAAUUUGAGGAAAAAAUACAGACCUCAGUUUGUCAACUUCUUGUUCAUGAGAUUCAGCCGCAGUAAAUGCAAACCUCCAUUUCUCGUCAAGCAUUGUUAACCUCUACGACAAAUUGAAGGUAAGAAGAUGAACAAAAUAAGUGUAAUGUGCAGGAAAAAAAAUGAAGUCUAUGGGUACAACAACACUUCAAGAUUUUUCAAGUUCUAGUUCAUUUAAAUAGACAUUCCUUGAACUUCAGUAGCAAAGAAAGUACAUUAUAGCAACAAUUUCAAUUCAUUUCAAUCUUUAGAAUUUUUUAUUUUAAAAAAAUAAAUUCCUUCAAACUAGUGAAAGGAAAAUAAAAGUGUGUUUACAGAAGAAAAAUCAUGGAAUGAAUUAAUGACCAUGCAAGUGAGGAAACACAGAAAUUUCUGAAUAAGAGCGAAACUAACCGUGCAAAUGAACAAAGAAAAUGUAAGUCUUCAAGUGCUACAACAAGCAAAACUACCUAAAAACAAGCAUUUUCUUCUUGAAUUAAAGACAAAUCAUGAACUUUGUGCAAUCUCAAAACAUUCAGACAAGCAUGAACUUAGUUAAUUCAUAUCAUAGUCAUUGUCUCUAUUAAAAAUCUUCCAACUAAAAAAAAUAAAAAAAUAAACAUGUUGGUUUCUAUAACAUAAUUUGCCUAUCUUUACAUGAAACAGAGCAAUAAAUAACACUUAAUAAUUAUGAAAUACACAGCCAUUCAAUCUAUAUAAUAUAGAAAUAAAGGAAAAAAAAGAAAAAAAUUCAAAUUACAAUUAAAUAAACAAAAAAUAGAUAUGGAAAAGAAAUCCCACCAAGACUGCACUACUGGGAGAAUUUCUCAACAUCUGCAACAACCCAUAAAAUUAAAAUUAACAAAAAACCCUAAUAAUCAUAAGCUAAAAUAAAACAAAUUUAUUAAUUAAUUUGACAAAGAAAAUAAAAUAUUAAGCCAUUACCAGCAGUUAAAGCCUUAAUCAAGGCAACCUGUUUGCCCUUAAAGUCAUUGAAAAUCUCCUUCACAGGUCUAAGUAUAAGGUGUGGUAUCCCUUCCAUAGCAAGAAAAUUAACUAAUUUCUCAAUAAUUUUAUUCAAAUUCAAGCAAAUGGGUUUUGAAUAUUGAACAAAAAAAAGUGAAAUUUGACCAUAAAAAGAAAAAAAAUUGAUAAAAGAAGCCUCGAUUACGGUUUUGGUCCGUUUUUCAAUUUGAGAAAAAAAAGGAAAAAGGGAAUAAAAGCCUCACUUAGGGUUUUAGCUUUAUAUUAUCUAUUUGAGUUAAAUGAACGAGUUUGUGAAUGGAAAGAAAAAAAAGGAAGAGAUCGAGAAGAGAAAAAGGAAAGAGAAAGGGAAAGAGAAAGGCAAGAGACAGUUUUGGGUUUGAGUUUGGGUUAGAGAUUUGUGUGUAUAAAAGACAGGGAGAUGGGGACAAUUGCUAAGUUUGGGAUAUGUUUUACUUUCGUUUUACAUGUUUUAAAUUCUUAAUUUAGUACCUGCAGUGUCGAACCACUUGAACGGAAGUGAUAGUGGCAACGGCGUGGGGGUGGGCGCAGCCAUGGGGGUUGGGCGCGGCCGUGGGCGUGGGCGUUUGGGCCUGGUCAUUCUCCAUCUUUCACGAUAGAGAAGAAGAAGUCAAGAAAGGCAAGGAAAUUACGCAGCAGCUACGACAUGGGCUCUAUUGCACAAUGGAAAAGGGGAAUUAGGGUUUGGUUUUUUAUAUGUUAAUAUUUUAUAUAACAUUGUAAUUCCAACUCAAUUUUAUGGGGUCCAGUGGUUUGCAAUCUAAACGUAAAAGUUUUGAGUUUUAGAAAUCCCAGGUUCGAGUUAAAAUCAAAACAAAUUUUAAUGAUUCUUUUUAGAUCUCUGAUGCUGAAGUAUCAGUGAUCUCUAAUAUUUAAUUUACUGAUACAUUAGUAUUAAUAAUUUGUGACAUUUAUUUGUUAAAAGUGGAAAAUGGUGCAUAGUUAGGUAAUUACUGACACUUUUUUUAAAGUGCCAGAAACAAAGUGUCAGUAAAAGUCAUUUUUGUAGUAGUGAAUUUCUUUUUUCAUCCAUUGAAUUUCUAUGGUACAUUAGUAGGAUAUGAGGUGUGAUUUUAUAAGGCCAUUAGGAUUAACUUAUGGUUGGAUGGAGUAGGGACUAAUAUGAUAUUUAGUAGGAUAUGGGAUGAAGAUUGCAAUAAAAGUGUUUCACCAGCAAUGUGCGAGCGCAUUGAAGGGUUUUGAAGUUGAAUGUGAAGUGAUAAAAAAUAUUCACCAUCGAAACCUUAUCAAUGUUAUUAUUAGUUGUUCGAACGAUGACUUCAAAGCAUUAGUCCUAGAAUACAUGUACAACGGGAGCUUGGAGGAUUGGCUGCAUUCUAGCAAUUAUGUGCUUAAUAUUUUUCCCAGGUUGAACAUAAUGAUUGACGUUGCAUCAGCUUUAAAAUAUCUCCACUUUGAUCAUUCAACUCGUAUCAUUCAUUGUGACUUAAAGCCUAAUAAUGUGUUGUUGGAUGAAAAUAUGGUUGCUCAUUUGAGUGAUUUUGGCAUAGCAAAGCUUUUAAGUUGAAGAUGAGUCUACGAUGCGAACAAAAACCCUUGCCACUAUAGGUUAUACGGCACAAGGUUUGCUUGAAACAACUUUUUUUUAGUUUAUUUUAAAAUUUCCAAAUUAUUGAUUUUUACGAUCCUCAUAUCAAAAUGUUAUUGAUUAUUUAUCUAAUUAUGAAAUAAUUUGAUUCAUAGAGUAUGGCAUAGAAGGAGAAAUAUGUGCAAAAAGUGAUGUUUACAGCUACGGGAUUAUGUUGAUGGAAACUUUUACCAAGAAAAAACCCACAGAUGAGAUUUUUGUUGGAGAAUUGAGCUUAAAGCGUUGGGUUAAUGACUUGCUUCCUAAUUCAUUAGUGGAAGUUGUGGACAAAAUUCUGCUAAUUGAAGAGGAAAAACAUUUUGCCGCAAAGGAGCAAUGUCUGUUCUCUAUCUUUAUUUUGGCACUAGAGUGUACAAUGGAAUCACCGGAAAAGAGGAUCAAUACAAAAGAUAUUGUUACCAGAUUACUCAAGAUAAGAGACACGUUGAGUAAAAGGAUAGGAAAUUUAAGUUAAUUUUGUUUGCUUUCAUUGAUAGUUACUUUGAAUUCAAGUAAUAAGUGUAAGAAUCGUUUAUCUUUUCUUUUGAUAUUUUUUUCUUGAGAAAACUGUUGUAGUCAUCUUUUUUCAAUGGGCAGAGUUGAUUUAGUUCUUCCAAGAAAUGCUAUUGUUGAUCUUUGUUACAUACGUUUGUCUUUUUUUGCAUGCAUUUAGGUAGAAUAGUGGUCUAGCUGCAGGCUAACAAGUCAAGCUACGCUAAAAGCGUAUGAUUUAAUUUAUUAAACCUAACUUCAAGUUCAAGAAUUGCAUCUCAUUGCCACCAAUGCUUUAGACACCUAUUCGUAGGUUUGUGUCCUCAACUUUGUUUGGAGCAAAAGUUCCAGUCCCAUGGAGGCUCAAAUAUUUCUCUCCUACGUCCCGAACACGCUAAAUUCAUCAGCCUCUUGAACCCUCUCCUGAGGGCGCCUUCUGUCCUCUGUUUUCUGUUUCCAUACACAAAUAGCAAAAAGAAUUCAGACUGAUAACUGGGUAUCUAAGAAUAUAUAAGAGUGAAAUAAUUAAAAAAAAUUGUGCUUUUUUGUUUGUCGUGUUAAAAUCGUAAGGUAUCUAAGUACUAUGAAAGAGAUUAGUUUACGAAAACUGAAGCCAAGGGUUCAUAAAAAAAAGUGCAUAGAGAAUAAAGGACAACGCUUAUGUAAAGCGACAUAAUUGUAUUGGUAGCACAAUGUCACGUUCAUACAGAGAUCAAGUACAUUAUUUACAGCUGGUAAGGGCUAAGAAUUGAUGUAGCUAGAAUACAAAGAUGAUAUGGUAUGUUGUGCACUAUUGUUUUAUUCUACAAUCAAUCUUGACCCUUGAUGCUUGGCUCUCAAUCUUGUCCAUUGAUCUUCUCUGAUCUCGAAAACUUCAAGACCUUUCAAUCUCAUGCCUUAUUAUUGGUGUCUUCUAUGCUGUUAAUUUCAAAUACUAGCUUUUCCGCCAACUUGCCAAUUAUUUGUUCAUUGGUGCGUUUUGUCAAACAGUGUGGAUACUUAUACCAAACGCUUUCUGUUUUAACUACCCCUUUCAAGCUCAAUUAUCUGGGAAGACACUAAUAAGCUUGUUUCUCAAGUAUAUGUAUCUGAAAAUUAAAUUUUCAAAAUUAUAUUCGGACUCUACAUUUUCUAAUGAACAUUGGUUUGGCUCAUAAGCUUAUUAUACUUGGGCUUGGUAGGAUUAUCGGUCGGUAGAUGAACAAGUGUUAGAGCUUUCGAAUUUAUGCCAAUUAAAAAAAAUCUAUAUAAAUUUUCCACUAGGCUAUUACCACAAUAAACAUUUGGAUGAACUAUUAUUGAAACCUUAUUGAGAAGUAGGACAUGUCGCAUACCAAUGCACUGACAUAUCUUCAAAUAGUGGUAACUCCACACAACAUGGCACAAUAAAUUAAGAGUUAUAUAGAUAAAAUCUUUCACUCUUUGGUAAUCAUCAAUGUCGGCAUGACAAUGCGUCCCACAAAUAUGGCUCCUUAUCAAAAUUCAUAAAUCAAAACAAAAUAGAGAAUCAUAUUUGUUCCAGAUUGUAGUGAUGGUUGUUGAUGCACUCACAAUUUACAAUUUUAUUUAAUAUCUUCAAAUUCGCAUUUUAAAAUGCCCAAAUGUUUGUGUAUACAUAAUUAGAUAAAAUCUUUCAUUCUUUGGUAAUCAUCAAUUUCACUAUUAUUCGCUUUAUUAUGUUUGUUUCUUGCAGUAUGUUAAAAGAUUAUGUUGUGAAUUUGUUUUACAGGCCGCCCGUAAGUCUGCGCCCACUGUUGUGAAUUUGUGUAUACAUAAUUAGUAAUCGAUUCUCAAGCACGGACAUUUAAAAGCACUGCCGAAAGACAAAAUUUUAAUUUACUAUUUUUUGUCUUUUAAUUUUCUUUAAGUUUUAAUGAUUCCGCAUUUUAAAAUCCUGUGGAACGUGUAUGUAAAAUUCUUUUAUCUUUUAGAGGAAAACGGGCAAGAGAAGAAUAUUUGGCAAAGGAAUUGCAACCGCAUUUGGAGCUAUAUUUAAUUUUGUCUUUUAAGUCUUUUACACUUGUUUUUGUUAUUGAUGUUAGCUUGGAUGUGUGUGCGUGUGCGACUGAAUUCAACUUACAUGCUAUUGAUGCAGCCACCAAAAAGGGGUGGUCCAUCAUCAAUCAACAAGGUUUAUUAUUAUUUUCAUAUGGAUUUUCUUAAUUAUAAAUAAUACUAAUGCUAUUUCAUAGUUAUAAAUAUAUUAGAAUUAAUCGAAAUCAUUUUUUAGUGUGGCAUUGCCAAACUACCUUUUUUUAUAAGUAAUUACUACUUUCACAUUAAGAAAAAUACUCCUAUUUUUAGGGAAAAAUCAAGUACUUGUAGUUGUGAAAACUUGAGCUCACUCGCGUAUGAUAAAUCUUCAUAUUAAUUACAUAAAUAUCCUCUAAAAUUUUAAAUUAACUAUUCAAAAUUCGAUGUUAUACGGGUAUUUCAUUUAUUUGAGUAGGGGUUAGGGGUCAAUUGGAUACAAAUUCAAAAUUAUCCUUACUUGAGAAGGUGAUAAAAAUUGGGGAUUUAAUUUGGAUGUCAUUAGCUACAAAUAUUAAAUUCAUACAUUUAAUUCAAAAUUGGAGGGUUGAUAUAUGCGCAUCAUCGUGCACGUUAUAGUGACACUGCGUCACCAUCCCACAACCUCUCCAAUGAAAAAUUAACACGUUUCUCGUGUGCAUUUGAUCAGAAUCCUGAAAAUUAAUCACAAAAUUGUACUUUUAUUAUAAAAAGAAUAAAGAAACUCCUGAAAAAAAAAUACUUACAUAAAUGGUUUGAAAAUUCUAGAUUUCAAGUUGUCUAUAUUAGCUUGAUAUUUUUAUAAAUAGUCAUCCUCUCAAAAAAAUUCCAUCAAAAUAUAUAUUUUAAUUUUAUGUUAAUUCAUAAACAUGAAAAAAUCAUUUCAUAAUUAAUUAAAACAUAAUUUAUUGUUUCUCAAAAAAGGUAGAACUUAGUGAUAAGAAAAAAGUAUCUCAAAUAUAUGUAAAAAAAAAAAAAAUCUUGGUUGGUUGGAAUGAUUGAAUUUGCUUUUCUUUUUCUUUUUUAAGAAUUAAGACAAUCGGAUUGAUUGAGUAAUAAUAAUAUAUAUUUAUUUGGAGGUAGGCUUUCGUCUCAUGCAGAUUGAUUAGAGAGAAAACAAAACAAUUUUAAGCUCGUUAGAUUCGAAGCUGCUUACCUGUCGUGUGGGGAUCACUUCCGUGUCUUAUUUUUCUAAAAAAGUCUGGACCAUUGGAUUUAUGUGAAUCGUACUGAACAUUGGAAUUGAUGUAUAAGAAAAAAAUUUUGUAGUCGUUUAAGGAAAAAAAUUAUUCAAUUGGGAAUUUUUUUCCUUUAAUUUUUGUUGUACUUGAUUGAGAUUUCUCCUUAGUCCCUACAGUUUUAAGUUUGGAAACCGUAGGAUUAGUAAUUUCGUACUUCCUUUGCAAGCUGAGUAUAAGGAUGAAAUUCUUUUAAGAAAUUAAAAAAGAUAAAAAAAAGCAUACCAAUAGGCAAUUAUAAAUAACCACAAAUAAAUAUAAACAAAAUGUUUAUGACGUAAAUUAAACAUGCUCAAUUAUUUUCUUUUAUUUUCUGCUCGGAAACCCAUAAAUGCACUAAUCCAGUAUUACUAAUUUCAGACAGAAAAAUUUGAAUUUAACCGGUAUACAUUUCUACAAACCAAACAAGGCUAUUAUUUUUAUUAUUAUUUUUUUUUUUUUAUAAAUUACUAUUUUAAUUUUUCACUUUUUAUUGGGUUGCUUAACAGAUUAGUGAAGUUGGUGGUCGUUGAUGCACUCACAAGGUACAAUUUUAUUUUAGAAAUUGAAAUUUCGUAUUUUAAAAUGCAGGCACAUUAUGUAUGCAUAAUUAUUGAUUUUCAUAUGUGGGUGUUUUGAAAUAUUGCUAAAAGACCAAACUUUAAUAAACUAUUUUUGAUCUUUUUUUUUCCUUUGUACCUAAAGUUAGAGUGAUAUCCGCAUUUUAAAUUCAUGUGGACCAAAAGCUAAUGUAUGGACAAAAUUAUUUUAUUUUUCCGAGAAAAAUGGGUAAGAGAAGAAGAUUUUUCUCUUGAAAAAGAAAAACUAAUACGUUGCAAGCAUAGGAAAGAGGCUAGUGUGUUUGGAUUUGAAUUUAGUAUUGAGUUCAAUUUUAUGCUAAGCUCUUUUAUAAUACUGCGAUUAGGGAGCCCUUAAGUUACAUGUAAUAUAACUUACACUCGCUCACUUAAAUAGUGGGUGGGUUGGGGGCCCACUCACUGUUCAUGUGAGUGAGUGUAAGUUCCAUUAUAUGUAAUUUAGCACUUGCCUUGCGAUUAAUAAGCUCAGGAUUUGCUUUUGCUUUUACUUCAAGUAAAAGAAAGAGGAAACCUUUUGUUUUUUGUUUGAUUUUUGACUAUAUAUGUUACCUAUAUAGAGAGUUGAGAUGGCUGCCUUAAGUGAUGGUGAUAAAAAGAUUAAGCAGCGCACACAAUCUUACUAUCGUCCAGACUGUCCAGUGAUAGACUCUAGUUUUUUGGUUACAUUAGCUUUAGUGGAAAGAAGGGCCAAUUUAACAAAGACUAGAUUUGGUGGCUUGUUGUAAUGCUUAUUCUCAGGGAAUCUAAGGUUAUAAGAUGAUUGAAUGAUCUUCUAUGAUUGUGAGCAGUAUAUUAUAAUUGAAGAGAGCUUGGGCUCCUAUGAUGUAUAACAAUAACACAUUACUAUGAUUGAGAAAACUCAGUUACAAUAAACUCUUCAUUUAUUCAUUGCUGAGAUUGAAUGGCAAAUAGAGAAUAGAAUGAAGCAGAGGAAUCUCAUUGCCUGUAAAAUUGAGCCUAUUUAAUAUUACUUGUAGUUUUUAUUGUAAAAUAUACAGGUAUGACCAUGAUCAGAUGCUUUUUUUAAAAACAAAUGAGACAUCUUUGAUUUAUGGUAGUUUUAGAGAAAAAAAAAACAUAUAAAAAUUAAGAGGGAUGAGUUAACUGACGAUUACAAUCAUUACAGCAAUGCUGAUGAGUGAUACAUCACUUGAAAUUUAUUUGUCAGUUGCUGUAAUGAUGGAAAAAAACAAUAAACAAUAACAGUAAUAAUGUUCCCUUGCUGAAAUUCAAUUUUGACUUUCGACUCUUGGCUUUUAUGGAGAGUAAAAUGACUUGUAUAUUAUCCUCAUACAAUCCACUCUACAUAAUGAUAUCAUUUUAAUAAGGCAAUGGCUGAUGAUCUCCAUUGAAAAACUUUUUGUUUUAUUUAACUUUUUGGUUGUUGAAAAUAACCUUAAUUAUCAAAUAAUCAGAGAAAGAGUAAAGAACAUUUAACAAAUUUAUGUGCCAAAAAAAAAAGGAGAAAUUGAAGAGAAAGGAUGCUUGCAGAAGUGGGUGUCAAAGAGAUAAAUCGGUCUAUAAGAAUUAUUGUGGUUAUUUUUUUGGUGCCUUGGAGUUCUUUAAAUUAAGGGCCCAGUUUGUCCAUUUGUUUCAGUUAGGUCCUUAUUAAAAAUUAAUUUUAAUAUUGGUUUUCUUAAUUAUAACUAAUACUAAUGAUAUUUCAUAGUUAUAAAUAUAUUAGAAUUAAUCCAAAACAUUUUUUAGUGUGGCAUGGCUAAAACUACCUUUUCUAUUAGUAAUUACUACUUUUGCAUUAAGGAAAAUACUCCUAUUUUUAGAAAAAAGUCAAGUACCUAUAGUUGUGAGAACUUGAGCUCACUCGCUUAUGAUAAAUCUUCAUAUUAAUUACGAAAAUAUCCUCUAAAUUUUAACUAAACUAUUCGAAAUUCAAUGUUAUUCGGAUAUUUCGUUUAUUUGAGCAGGGGUUAGGGGUCAAUUUGAUACAAAUUCAAAAUUAUCCUCAUUUGCGAAGAUGAUAAAAAUUAGGGAUUUAAUUUGGAUGUCACUGGCCACAAAUAUUAAACUCAUGCAUCUCAAAAUUAGAGGGCUGAUAUAUAUGCAUUAUCGUUAUAUUGACAUGUGUCACCAUCCCACAACCUCUCCAAUGAAAAAUUGACAUGCAUCUUGUGUGCUUCUUAUCAAAAUCCUGAAAAUUAAUCACAAAGUUAUAUUUUUAUUAUAAAAAGAAGAAAGAAACUCCAUAAGUGAAAAAAAAAAAGACUUAAACAUAAAUAUUUUAGAUAAUCUAGAUUUCAAGUUGUCUAUACUAGCUUGAUAUUUUUAUAAAUAUCAAGAUUUCAAGUUGUCCAUAGUAGCUUGAUAUCUUCUAAAAAAAUUCCAUCAACAUAUAUUUUAAUUUUACGUUAAUUAAUAAAUAGAAAAUUCAUUUUAGAAUUAAUUAAAACAUUAUUUAUUGUUGCCAAAGAAGGAAGUACUUAGCGAUAAGAAAAAAGUGUCUCAAAUAUAUGUUAAAAAAAAAUCAUGGUCGGUUGGACUGAUUGAAUUUUUUUUUCUUUUUCUUUUUUAAGAAUUAAGACAAUUGGAUUGAUUGAGUAAUAAUAAAAUAUAUUUAUUUGGCAAAUGGCAGGUAGGCUUUCUUCUGAUGCAGAUUGAUUAGAGAGAAUAUGCAGCAAUUUUAAGCUUGUCAGAUUCGGAGGCUGCUUAUCUGUCGUGUGGGGAUCACUUCCAUGUCUUAUUUUUCUUGAAAAAUCUGGACCGUUGGAUUUACCAUUAGUCAAUAGAGAAAUGCUGAUCUUGAUUCUUGAUCAAGAUCGAAGUUUGAUUCUAUCUAACAUGAUAUCAGAUUGCGAAGCAAGCAAAUUGAAAGUAACUUGUUCUAUUUUGAUGGAAGAAACACAAUUUCUAUUGUUCUAAUAAAAAAUUUUAAUUAUACAUAUUUUUCUUUUGCCACUUGGGUUUGUAGUCCAGUGGUGAACUAUUGGCCUUAAAGUUAAGUAUGACUAUGAGGGCAAUGGUUCGAGUGCCCACGAACUCAAACUCCCUCAAUUAAACAUAAUUAUGUGGAGAUUACUUAUAACGUCUUUCUCUCUUGUGAAAUCUGAGUGGAGUAGAAAUAUCCCUUUCCCGUGAGGGUUAUUUGGCUAGGCAUGUACUUUAUAGAAUAAAAAUGUAAUAAUGUAAGUCAGUGCAAUGAUCUACUGUCAUAGUAGUUGUAAAUAUCUAGGUGUAAUACAGUAACCUGAUGCUUAAUCAGUUAAAAAAAAUGUAUAUCUUUUUUUUAUUUUUUUCAUUGUGAUCACUAUAACUAGUCAAAUUUAUUUUUAAAUAUUUUUUAAAAAAAUAUUUUAUUAACAAUGAUAUGAAAAUAUUCGAACCCCUUCUCAUAGUAAAGUGAAUUACUAUCCAACUGAUGCCUUCAAACUGUAAAUUGCAAAUCGUGUGUUUGCUCCAUUACAGGGUGUCUUCAAUUUAAAAUAGAGAAUAAUUUGGUUCUAGAUUAAUCGUGGGUCUAUAUCCAAAUCCAAAAAUUGACUAACUUGAUUUCUAUUAAGUUCUCAACCCUAACACGAAAAAUAGAAGAUUAAAAAUGACUAUUUUGGUUUCUAUUAAUUUGAGUAACACUUAAUAUUUAUCAUACAAUAGUCACUUAUAUUAUCAAAAUCUUGGGUCGAAAAUAUUAGGAUAGGUGAUAAUUGGAAUUAAGUUGUAGAUAAGAUAGAAAUGGAUUUGGAGAGAGAUUGGAAUCCUGGCUAAUCCGGUGCACGUUGUUGCGUUAAAUUCUCGUUGACUUCACGUUGACCGAAGCAUUAUUGGAAGAAACAAGCAAGCUUAUUUUCUUCUCUCAUUUUUUACUUUUGUCUAAAUUUAUUGAUGUGAGGCCUCUGAGAUGGUAAAGUGUUAAAUCUGAGAAGAGUACCCACACACCCAUUAUCCUAUUACUCUUAUUUUAUCACAUGCAGAGACGUCAACGUUUGAUUCGCACGGAAAAAAAUUUGCUAGGAUUGUGAGGGUUGAUGUAAUGUAAUUUAGAUGCAAAGUGUUCACAAGUGCGAUGCUUCGUAAGUGUACUUGAAUCAUUAUAAACUCACCUUAUUUUCAUAGUGAUUAUUUCAUCUGCAUGUGAAUAUAAUCAUAUGUGGAGAUUUUUUUCCUAAAUUAUGAUCUUCUCUGGUAUUGAGGUGUUAUAUUUUUUAAAGGUUAAUGUUAAGUUACAUGCAUGUAACUUACAACCCUCUCACAUGAAUAGUGAGUGGACCCACACCAUUCACUAUUCAUAUGAGAGGGUUGUAAGUUACAUCCUCUUUUAAAUUAUAAUUAUUAUUAUAAAAAAACUGCAACUAUGAAAAAAAAUUAAUAUUAUGUCCUGAAUAUAAUUGUUAAAUAAUAAUUUUGACAAAAUUAAUGAAUAUAUACAGUUUUUUUAUCAUAUAAGUGUAAAAUUAUAUCAAAUUAGCUUUUAAAUUAUACAGUGGCUACUGCUUAUCAAACACUUUAGUGUUGUAACUUUUAAGUUAUAACUGUCUAGCCUUUAACCUCAAUCUCAAACGAGGCUUAUAAAGAUCAAGGAUUUCCUCAUAAAAAUUAUACGUCUUGUGAUUGCUUAUUUAAUUUAUAUUUUCGUUAUUUAUCUUUAUUAAUUAUAGUCAUCUUUUUAUAAAUUACAAUUGGAGAAAGUUGGUUGAUGUUGUUGACACACACACACACAUACAAAGAUAUAUUGGAAGUGCUUAUUAUGUCGACUCGAAGUUGUGGGGAGUUAAUGCAUGUAUUGAUUUAUUGGGAGUGUUUAAAUUAUUUUGUGAUUUACUUGAUAGAUUGAUUGAUUGAAUAUUGUUUGAUUGCUUCAUAUCAAUUCUGGAAAGUUUAUUUCUUUGUGAAAUUUCAACGAAAUAUGUUUUUUAAAAUAAUAAGGGUGUUUUAAGUAAUUUUGAAAAAUAAAUACACUAAUUAGAAUUAAUUAUUAAGUAAUUAACUCGAACUGUAGAGGAUAAGCAAACAUUUAUCCUAAUUAUAUUAUGAUAAAUCCUUUUCCAACUAGAAUUAGGAAACCAUAGAUAUACAGAUUUUUAUUUUUAUUUCCCUUUGCGAAAACGGAUUAGAGAAUUAGAAAACAAUCCUAGUGAGACUAUUGUUAGGUUUAAUAUUUUGUCGAAUUUGGAAACUUUUUGUCGAAUUAGAAAACAUGCGUGGUGAAUAUUUUGUCGCAUGCAAACUUUUUGUUUUAUGCAAAUCGUACUGAACAUUGGGACUGAUGUUUAAGAAAAAAAUUCUGUAGUUAAAGAAAAACAAAAAGGCAUGUUGAAUAGAUUACGAUAGUUUAUUCAAUUGGGAAUUUUUUUUCUUUAAUUUUUGUUGUACUUGAUUGAGAUUUCUCCUUGGUCCUUACAGUCUUAAGUUUGGAUACCGUAGGAUUAGUAAUUUCGUACUUCCUUUGCAAGCUGAGUAUAAGGAUGAAAUUCUUUUAAGAAAUUAAAAAAAAAUGAUAAAAAAGGCAUACCAGUAGGCAAUUAUAAAUAACCACAAAUAAAUAUAAACAAAAUGUUUAUGAAGUAAAUUAAACAUGCACAUAUUAUUUUCUUUUAUUUUCUGCUUGGAAACCCAUAAAUACACUAAUCCAGUACUACUAAUUUCAGAUAGAAAAAUUUGAACUCUAAGCUGCAGUUUGACUCAAAAUGAUGAUCACUGGCUUCGCACCAUUUAACCGGUAUACAUUUCUACAAACUGAACAAGGCUAUUGAUUUUUAUUAUUAUUUUAAUUUGUUUAUAAAUUACUAUUUUAAUUUUCACUUUUUAUUGGGUUGUGUAACGGAUUAGUGAAGCUGGUGGUCGUUGAUGCACUUACAAGGUACAAUUUUAUUUUAUAAUUUCAAAUUCGUAUUUUAAAAUGCAGGUACAUUAUGUAUACAUAAUUAUUGAUUUUCGUAUGAGGGUGUUUUGAAAUAUUGCUAAAAGACUAAACUUUAAUAAACUAUUUUUGAUCUUUUUUUUUCCUAAAGUUUGGGUGAUAUGCGCAUUUUAAAUUCAUGUGGAACAAAAGUUAAUGUUUGUAUAAAAAUUCUUUUAUUUUUUUGAGCAAAAUAGGCAAGCGAAAAAGUUUUGGCAAAUGAGUUGCAACUGAAUCCAAAACCAAUACAAUGCAAGCAUAGGAAAGAGGCCAGUGUUUAGGAUUUGAAUUUAGUAUUAAGCUGAAUUUUAUGGUACGCUCUUUUAGAGUACUGUGAUCGAUAAGCUCAGCCCCGGAUUUGCUUUUGCUUUUGCUUUUACUUCAAGUGAAAGAAAGAGGAAACCUUUUGUUUUUUCUUUGGUUUUCAACUAUGUUACCUAUACAGAGAGACAAGAUACCUGCCAUAAGUGAUGGUGUUAAAAAGAUUAAGCAGCGCACACAAACUUACUAUCGUCUAGACCAUCCAGUGAUGACCCUAGUCUUUUGGUUACGUUAGCUUUAGUUGAAAGAAGGGCCAAUUUAACAAAGACUAGAUUUGAUGGCUUACUAUGUUUAAUGUAAUGCUAAUUUUCAGGGAAUCUAAUGUUAUAACUUAUAAGAUGAUCUCCUAUGAUGAACAACAGUAACACAUUACUGUGAUUGAGAAAACUCAGUUACAAUAAACUCUUCAUUUACUCAUUGAGAAGAUUGAAUAGCAAACAGAGAAUAGAAUGAAGCAGAGGAAUCUCAUUGCCAAUAAAAUUGACCCUCUUUAAUGUUAUAUGGCACAGGUGUGGAGGAAGAACAAGUUACUUGCAGUUUUUAUAGUAAAAUAUACAGGUAUGACCAUGAUCAUUACAGUUAGGUUUUGAUGAUUUCGGAUGCUUUUUUUAAAAAAAAAAAAAUUGUGACAUCUUUGAUUUACGGUAGUUUUGUAGAAAAAAAAUAUAUAAAAAUUAAGAGGGAUGAGUUAAACUGACGAUUACAAUCAUUCCAGCAAUGCUGAUGAGUGAUACAUCACUUGAAAUUUACUUAUUAGUUGCUGAAAUGAUGAAAAAAAAAAACAAUAAACGAUAACAGUAAUAAUGUUCCCUUGCUGAAAUUCAAUUUUGACUUUCGACUCUUGGCUUUUAUGGAGAGUAAAAUGACUUGUAUAUUAUACUCAUACAAUCCACUCUACAUAAUGAUAUCGUUUUAAUAAGGCAAUGGCUGAUGAUCUCCAUUUAAAAACUACAUCAAUUUUUUUGCUUCAUUUAACUCUCUGGUUGUUGAAAAUAACCUUAAUUAUCAAAUAAUUGGAGAAAGAGUUAAGAACAUUUAACAAAUUUAUGUGCAAAAAAAAAAAAAAAAAGGAGAAGUUGAAGAGAAAGGGUGCUUGCAGAAGUGGGUGUCAAAGAUAAAUCGGUCCAUAAGAAUUAUUGGGGUUAUUUUUUGGCAAAAUAAGAACUUAUGCGAUAGCAUUUUUUAUGGGUGCAUAUAACCUCCCUUUAAAAAAAUAUAUAAUAAUUACUGCUUAAUAUAGUAUUAAAUACAAAAAUAUCAAUAUUUGACUACUUAAAUUUAUAUCAUUAGGUCCUUAAAAUUUAAAAUGGAAGAUAUGAAAGGAAAUAUAUAUAAAUUUCAUUGUCCUGGUAAAGGGCCCUCUUAUAAUCUUAUAAUAUUUGAACUUUGAUAGAUUUUUUGAAACAAAUGUACUUUUAUUUGUGUACAAUCAAUAUUUACUCAUUUAUUAUAUUUUAAUUUAUUAACUAUUAAUCAUGUAAGUAUACUUAAUCAGAAAAAUUAUAUCAAGAGAAAAUUCUAAUUUCACGCAAAAACAAAUACCAAAACAAAUAUCUCAAUUUCUAUACUAUUCACUUUCCUGUAGAAUCAAUUAUUUAAAAUGCAAGUUUGUGGCUACAGAAAACUCGCCAAAGAAAGAAGAUAAUAACAAUUGAGCAUUGAUAGCAAAACUAAUGCAUCCAAUUCUUCUUGACUUGAUGAGAUGGCGCCAUAACGUAGACACAAGUACCUAAAUUGACCGGCACUGAGUGAUGUGAAUACUACCAGCCAGUUCAUCUCUUCCAGUCUUGCUUAAUCACAAUCACAAACACCACGAGAUCGACAUUUGCAUUAUAUAUAUCUUCAGCAAUCGAAACACCUUGCAUUACCAAAUAAGCCCGUAACAGACAAAGCAAUCUUUCAUGGAGAGAAACCUUAGUCUCAGUAUGAUCACUGUGUCAUUAACCUACUGCCUGCUUCUUUGCUUGGUUGCUGCAGCAGCAGCAGCGGCAAGCAACAAUAUUACCACAGACCAACAAGCUCUUCUUGCCCUGAAAGAUCAUAUAAUUUAUGAUCCGACCAGCCUUUUAGCUCACAAUUGGACCUCGAAUACCUCUGUUUGUACCUGGAUUGGCAUCACUUGUGAUGCCAAUAGCCAUAGAGUCACAACCUUAGAUAUUUCUCAAUUCAAUCUACAAGGCACCAUCCCUCCUCAACUUGGAAACCUCUCUUCACUCACAACACUUAAUCUUAGUCAUAACAGGCUUUCUGGAAGCGUUCCCUCCUCCAUCUACACCAUGCAUACGCUAAAAUUUCUUGACUUCACUGAUAACCAGCUCUCUGGUUCAGUGUCUUCCUUCGUCUUCAACAUGUCUUCAAUAUUAGUAAUUCGUUUGACCAAUAACAUAUUUUCUGGUGAGCUUCCGAAAAAUAUUUGCAACUAUCUUCCUUAUUUGAAGGCCCUUUUCUUAAACAAAAACAUGUUUCAUGGCAAAAUUCCUUCUGCUUUAUCAAAGUGCAAACAACUGCAACAAUUAAAUUUGCAGUUCAAUAAUUUAUCCGGUGCAAUACCAAAAGAAAUCGGCAACUUGACUAUGCUCAAAGGGAUAUAUCUCCUCUACAACAAACUCCACGGUAUGUUCACAAUACUAUAUAAAUAUUUUAAUUUAUCACUUAUUAUCUUUCUUGAAUAAUUUAGCUAAGAUCUUGUAAGAGAGAUAUUUUGCAUCUACGUUAAUUUACCAGGUGAGAUACCCCACGAAAUCGCUAAUCUUCCAAAUCUAGAGGCUUUAGCGCUUGGAAUCAACAACCUAGUUGGUGUGUUACCAGCUCCCAUCUUCAACAUGUCAACACUGAAGGUACUUAUCCUCAUAAAUAACUCUCUCUCCGGAAGUCUUCCAUCAAGAGUAGACCUUUCACUUCCAACUGUUGAGCAACUUAACUUGGCACUUAAUAGAUUUUCUGGAACCAUUCCUAGUUCCAUCACCAAUGCUUCUAAGCUCACCUUUCUAGAGUUGGGAGCAAACACAUUUUCGGGGUUUAUUCCAAACACAAUUGGUAAUUUAAGAAACCUUAAGUGGCUCGGCUUGGCUAAUAACUCCUUGACAUCUUCAACCUCAAAAUUGAGCUUUCUUUCCUCUUUGGCAAAUUGCAAGAAAUUAAGAUUCGUAAACUUAAUAGGCAAUCCACUGGACGGCUUCCUUCCAAGUUCAAUAGGUAAUCUUUCUGUGUCUUUGGAAACACUUGGCAUCGGCAAUUGCAGUAUUAGUGGCAACAUUCCUCCAGCAAUUAGCAAUUUAAGCAACUUGUUGACCUUAGUAUUACACGGCAAUAAAUUGACUGGACCAAUCCCAACUACAUUCGGCCAACUGCAGAAACUCCAAGGCUUAGAUCUUGCAUUCAAUAAGUUGGUAGGUUCAUUCCCAGAUGAGCUUUGCCAUCUGGCAAGGCUGGAUCAAUUGAUCUUAUUUGGCAAUAAGCUUUCAGGAUCUAUACCUUCAUGCUUAAGCAACCUCACUUCUCUAAGAUCUCUCUAUUUAGGGUCUAAUAAGUUUACUUCUGUUAUUCCCUCAACCUUCUGGAGCCUAAAAGACAUCUUGUUCUUUGACUUUUCAUCAAAUUUCUUGGUUGGUCCUCUUUCUUUAGAUAUAGGAAAUUUGAAGGUGCUUCUAGGAAUAAGUUUAUCGAAAAAUAAUUUAUCCGGUGAUAUCCCAGCCACAAUUGGAGGACUGAAAGAUCUUCAAUUUAUGGACCUAGCAUAUAAUAGAUUGGAAGGCCCAAUUCCUAAAUCAUUUGGUGACUUGAUAAGUUUAGAAGUUCUGAAUUUAUCAAAUAAUAAAAUCUUUGGGUCUAUUCCAACAUCCAUGGAGAAACUUUUUUACCUCGGAGAGUUAAAUCUCUCUUUCAAUAAACUAGAAGGUGAGAUUCCUAGUGGAGGAACUUUUGCCAACUUCACAGCUAAGUCAUUUAUGG
RNAcentral lists this long non-coding RNA (87358 nucleotides) under Citrus maxima (pomelo). Its description in RNAcentral is "long non-coding RNA (CMAX_LNC003928)". The record is from RNAcentral. Lineage: Eukaryota; Viridiplantae; Streptophyta; Magnoliopsida; Sapindales; Rutaceae.